CAAGUCUUUCCCCAAGAGGGCAUGUGUGUGACACUACCAUGAUCAAGAAUCCAUUUCCUUGCUCUGGCACAAGCAUUGUCCUGGCCUCCAUCAGGUCCGUCUCCAAGAAUGCGCAUACAAAUGUAGCUCAGGGCUGUGCCGAACAUGGUGCUGUGGCCUUCAAUAUGUAAUCCCCAACCACCAUCUUGAUUCUGAAAAUACAUUACCUUUCUUUAUAUACUAGUUUAACACAAAAUAUGCACAAUGAGUGGAAAUUAAAUUUAAAAAUUGAUCCCAUUUGUGUGAACCAAAUAAAUAAGUGUGCACCUGAUGAUAGUAUAUGUAACGCAGAAUUUCUCUGCGAUGCUCUGCUGGGAAUACAGUAUUAAGAUGCCCUGUAAUGUAUGUACACAUGACCUGAAAAAAAAUAAAAUAAAAUAAAAAAAUAAAAAAAAAUAAAAAGGGAAAAUUAGUCAAACGCUCCAAAAUUUUAGUAAAAAAUCUCUAAUGAAUAACUGUAAUUAUAAGGAAAUUAGAAAUUAUAUACUCACCAAAGGAGGAAGGAAAAACAACGGGCCAGCAUUUUCAGCAGGCCAAUGGCCAUCACUUGCCUGCAAGGCUGAAAAGAAGUGAACAGAUCUUCUCAGUGAGGCUGUUGCCUUUUCAUAUGUGAUUUCCUCGCCAUCCUCAACCUUUACUGGGGGAAUUGUCUGCUUGAAGUUCUUCUCUUUUAGGAACUGCAGUUUAGUGAACAGAGGAGAGGAUUGGGAUUUGCAUUAGAGAAAAAGUAAGUUAAUUCAUGAUGCUGAUUUCAGUGGGGGUGAAAAGGUUUUGGAGGCCUAGGCGAGCCACCAAAAUGUUACCUUCUACUCUUUAUGCAUAUUUAUGUAAAUUUUUUUGGAUAAGUAGAACAAAAUUAUAUAACUCAAAGUCACAAUUGUAACCUAAAAAGAAAUAAAUAAAAUGUAAUUCACAUAAUAACUUUAUAAAAUACAUCAAAACAUCAUUUAAAUAUCACUUAUUUUAUACUUUUCGAUGCAAAACGUAGCAAUUAACUUUACAUAAUCAAAAUUUUCUACCAUGUCUUUUUCAAUAUAAAAUAUAAAAACUAAAUAUAAAGCAAUAGUCUUGUGGAUUUUUACCUUCUUAUUCUUGCGCUUCCUCUUGCAGUGCAUAUAUUCAACUAGAUUAACUUAUUUAACUUUUUAAACUUUUUUAAAAAUAAUAAUAAUUGGUCCUUUAUUGAGUUUCCCUUUUUAAGUUUUAGAGUAGAUAAUUUGGCUUAAUAUAAUAUCAAUAGAGUAAUGCUAUUUAGCAUUACUCAUAUCAAUACGGUACAAAAGUAACAUAUCAGUUAUGAUUUCUUAGACUACAGGGAUUCAAGAGAUUUGUGGUCACUCACCGUUGGAUGUAAAUUCAACGGUUCACUCACUCUUACACUCCUUUUAAAAAACUUUUUUGAACCAUUAGAUUAAUAUCCAAAGGUGAGUGACCACAAUUUCUUAAACUCUUAUUGUCCAAGAUAUCGGAACUGAGUAAUAUAUAUAUAUAUAUAUAGUGGUUUAUAAAAAUUGAGGGCACUUCUAAUUUGGAUUCCUUAGACGACUGCCUUACCCGCCUAUCUCCCGGGUGAUUAUAUAACAAACUUAUGAGUGCAAAUUGAAAACAAGAAAAAGAAUUCAAAAUUUGACAGGUUUAAAGCUAACUAUUUGUCUAGUUGUAUUUUUCUUUAUUUCUUUAUUUUAAUUAAUUAUUUAUUUAUAAGAUAUGAUAUCAAGUUUGAAACCCCUUUCAAGAUUUUUAUAAUAAUUUAAUAAGAAAAACCAAGACAAACAUACACACUCAUGUUCUCUUGCUAAACUUAAGUCUAAGAAGAAGAGAACAUUACUAAGUACUAACGAAAUUAAGUGGAUAAAGACCUGCAUACGCCAUAGGAGGUCACCACUAGGCUUGACCUGAUAGCGAUUAUUGUAGAAAUUAAGACGAGCUUCUUCCACCUCGGCUCGCUCUUCGGGAGUUCCUGCCUCGGCAUCAAACUCAAAUAUCUGCCUCCCCACAAAGUCGUUUGUGCUGUAGAUGUAAGGGUCAUUCCCUCCAUCUGCAACCUUAAGCUUCCACAUUCUUCAAAUAUCUCUUUCUUAUUAUAUAUAUAUAUAUAUAUAUAUAGCUACCAAGUGCUGUUCUACCUUGAUAUAUAUCUUCUCAGUAAGAACCUGUUUCAUGCAUAUGCAAUGUAUAUAAGUCACAAUUAAUACACCAUAAAGAUGUGCUAAGUAGCUUGGUGAAUCUAUAUAUACAUAGGAUCCCCUGGCUUUCCAUAUUUUGUAAAUGUCUGAAUUGUUGUAUAUAUAGUGUGUACGGAUAUUUGUGUGUGUGUGAGAGAGAGAGAGAGAAACCCCGUACGUACAGUUUGCAGUUUGCAAAGAAGCUGCUGCAGAAACCGUAUUGUAGAGUUUGGUUAUAUAGCUAAGAAUGAAAGAGAGGUGGGGUUGGCCAGCUAUAGCGUUGUAUAUGUAUGGUUAAUACGCGCAGAGAGAGAGAGAGAGAGAGAGAGAGAGAGAGAGAGAGAGAGAGAGAGAGCCCUAGUGCAGUUUGCAAAGAAGAUUGAAUUUGGUUAUAACGAGAUGAAAUGCAGGAGAACUUUAUAGACAAAACAAACAAUAUGAGGUAUAUAUGCCAUGUGAUGUUAUUGUCUUUGGUCUUUUGGUAAUUAAGCUGAUCAGCUAUGUGUCAUUUUUUUCAACGAAGGCGGCGCUUACCCAUGAUUGCUAUUGCCACGGCCAAGCCAUGACAGAUCCCUUAAUUAAUUUGAUAAACUGGUGAUCAUGUGAGAGAGGAUUUUUCAUACAUACUAUUAAAGUGUCAUAUGUAGGUGACUCGAUACAAGUUAUAUUGUGUAAGUCCCAUAUAUAUAAAUGAAAUAAUAAUCUACAAUUAAAAUAUAGAUAAUCCACUUCUAAUUACACUAAUGCUUGUUUUUAAGGUAAAACCCCACAUAAUUUGUACAAGUAGCGAAACUCCUGUUGGGUCACUAAAACUUUCAACUCUUAAUUCCUAACUCACUUAUAAUAAUGAAAGCCGAAUAUUGGGUUAGGUGUGUGGGGACAUGAAAGCUGAAUUUAUUUUUUGAAUAAACGCUUUGAAUUUCUCCCUUUAAUAAACGUUUUGAAUUUCACCCUUUAAUAGAGUGCAUUUCCUACAAACCAAAUCACUCUUGAUUUUCCAAUCUUGCGUGUCUCCAUCUCCAUGUGUGUUGUGUGAGUUUUGCAAGCUGAAGCCGGCACACGUACCUAUGCAUGAUGUGGUCAACUAAUAAAACAAAAAAUUACUAUUAUACUUAAUAUAAAAUUUUAAAUUAUUUAUAAAAAAAAUUAUAUAAAAAAAAUCAAUUUACAACAUAAUAAAGAAGUUUUGAACUUUCUAUAAAUUACAAAAUUGUUAUCGAUUUCUUAAAAUAAGCCCAACUUUAAAACUUCAUAAUAAAACUCAAAACACUCAAUAGGACAUCAAAAUUACAGGUAGUCCACAAUACAGUAACAAGUAAGUUAAUGCGGACGUGCUCAAAUAUUAGCCAAAGCAAAAACAAGUCUUACCACUUAUUGUCUGUUUGGCAUUGCUUAUUUGGGAUGAUAAGUGAUUUUUAAAAAAAUUUGAGAAGCCCAACCCGUUUGAUAAACUGUGAGAAAAUCACUUAUUGUUAAAAAUUACUGUGAGAGAAAGCUAUAAGUGAAAGCAGCUAAUGAGGUGCUUUCAUUUUCUGAUGAUGCAGGAAUCAGUUUCGAAGAGGGGCUGGGCUUAAUGAUUAUGCGGCAAUCAUUUUUUGAUUAUGCAUAAAAUCAAUACCAACAACACUUUUAACAAAAAUUUUACCAAACGCUAAACUGCUUUAUCUCACAAUUGAUUUUUCUCACAACAAAUCUAACAGUGAUUAUUUUCACAAUAUAACAAUGCCAAACUAGCCUUAUAUUCCUGCCCACCAAAGUCCAAGUCAGUGAGCCUACAAAUAUAUAUUAAUUAAUUCAAAAUAAUUCAUUCUAGAGCAACAAUUAACGGUGGGAUGGCCCAUUUGGCAUGGUUCCAUGGAUCGCCUCCUCCAAUAUAAUCAUAUCUUUUCAACUACAACACGACAAAGGUUCACAUUAAUAUGAAAAAGCUUAGAAUGAUUUUGGCUUUGUAUUAAAGUCUCUGAUAAAUUUUUGCAUGUUUCGGUACUAUUUAAUAUACAUAAGACAUGUAGUUUGAAUUUUUCAACUUAUUGCAUUAUUUUUUAAAAAUAAAAAUAAAAUAUUUUCACAGCAAAAAUCUCGAAGUGAGUAUUAAAAGUUAAAAUAAAAUGAAACAAAAAUUAAUCUUUUGAAGCAUAUUCAUCAGAACGAUGCAACUUAAUUUGCUACUAGAAAAUUAACAAAUUUAUUUAAAUUCAACUCAAUGCAGACAUAAUGGACCAAGGGCAAAAAUCAAUAAUGGAAACUUUGAAAUGUAUUUAUGAUAUGAUUCCUUCCCCUCGCUGCUGUGACCUUUGCAAAGGUCUAGCUUGGUUCAUAUCUAUAAUCUCGUUGUCGGUUCAUUAUUCAUACACACUUUUGUUGCUAUCUUUUAGAAAUUUCCCCUAGUAGCUAAGGUGGACAGCAGUAGUUGUAACAGAAAUUAAUUACGUAUUGUUAUGUGAACUUAUUUUAUCGUCAUUUUUGAAGCCAGAGUUUAAAAAUAUAGUUUUACUUUACAGAUUAAUAGUCUCAAAUUUGAACCCUUUAAAUAACUUAAUAAAGUGUGUAAGAAAAACCCCGGGAUGAUGGGUGAGGGCUAAUGCGAAGUGGCCACAUACUAGGUAUGCAAUGUCCAAAAUCAAUGUCAACACACAACUAUGACCACAUAUUAUAAUUCAAUUAACUCAACCCCAAACGACGUAAUUUUGACUAUAAGCACGAUACAAAAACGAGUUACAACCACCAAAGACAAGUACACCACUCAUUUUUCGUCAAGGCUGCUGUGGAUUUCUAACGAAGUUUGAAGUUGACCAAAAUUUUAUUUUUACCUCAUUUAAGUACAAUCCAAGAAAAGCCAUAUUAAAUUGGAAAUUAAAACUCAAUCACAAUGUCUCAUUCCUCAAGCUAGCUUGAGCUCUGCAAAUUAAGCUAUUUUUGAAACUUAUUUGAGCAAUGAAAAAAAACCAAGACUCAGCUGAGGGACAAAACCAAGUUUACAAACUAUUCCAUUGUUUUCUUCCUGAAAUCUGCUUCUCCUAUAAUGAACAAGUUAAACUGCCUUGAAGAAUUUUAGGGCCCAUAUUUCAUGAGAUUAAUUUUGAAGUAAGCUAUUAACAUAUAUUGGGGGUGCUAGAUCCUCUCUGAUUGGAUUGUACACAAGUAAUCUGUUAGUACGAAAAUCGUAUUGGCAUUUCUUAGACUGUAGUAUAGGUUGAAAAUUAGUUUGUGAGAAAUUGCUACUCGAAGUUUUGGCACUACCCUUUCAAUCACAUACCUCCGAGGCAUACUCUGACCAUAUGAGAAACUUGACAACAGGUAAAUCAUGACAUAUCAUGCAUUCAUGAUAGGAGUUAUAGUUGAAGUUUUGUUUUGAGUCUUUAUAAUUGAAGUUAAAAUAUGAGUCGGUUGGUGACUUCAUUAAGAGUCCUUAAUGAAUUAGACUUUGUAUUUUUAUUGAAUCAAAAUUUAUAUUGUUAAUUUGAUAAGUGUUUGGCCCUUGUGUUGCGUCUCAUUAAGGAGAGCAGAUUGCACCAGGUUCAAAGAGUUUUAGUUCAAUUGGUCUUAGAGUUAUAAUUAUUUUGGAAGUGUAGUCUCGCAAGUUUCUCUCUCGUGAGAAACUUGCUGUGAAUAAAAAGGAGGCUUUGCCUUCUUGUGAUGUAAGCUUUUCCAACGUCCAAAACUAUUGAAGCAUAUUGAAUAUAGUUUGGGAAAUUCCAACGUCCAAAACCAUUGAUGCACAUUGAAUAUAUUUUGGGAAAAGCUGCUGCACUUAGAUCACUCGGAUAGUCAUCAAGUGCUUAGGUUGCUUGGUGAUUGAUCGAAUUCAUUCAUCAUUCAUAUUGCAUACAUAUGCAUGUCGGUGUCUCAUAUGGUUAAGGACAUCAAGACACUUUGUGUGUUUAUCCUCCGGUGAGCUUGAAGCAAUCGUGACCAGUAUUGCAUUCAACAAAAGGAGUGUCAAAGAUCAUCCCGUGACAGAAGCUGAGUUACGAAGAAGUCGGUAAACAUUGUCUAGAUUGAGUCUAAGACAAGUGUGUGUGCGUAUUUCUUGUAAUCUCAAUUCUAUAGUAGAUUCGUUCUGGACUAAGGAGUCCCGUGGAUUUUCCCCAGAGGUGGGGUUUUACCACGUAAAAUAAAUACCUGCGUGUUCUUUUAUUUUAAGCUUUGCACAUCUCAGGAUUGAUAACUCAUAUCAAUCCUACUUAAAAGGUUGAUCAUUAUUUAUUGCAAAAAAUCCGAAUUAGUUUGUUUAACCUUCUCCAGGCAUUUAUAGAUAUCCUACAGGUAUUUUCAUAAUCUAUUUGGAUUUGACAAGAAAUUCAAUCUCAUUGGAUUGUCCACAAGUAAUCGUAAUUCCUCAAAUUUGAAUAUCCUUUCGUCGUCUUUUCUAGGCCCAAAGCUUACUUCAUUUUCUCCUUUUUCUUUUUACUUUUUUUGAUGAACUAGGGACAAGACAAAAACUACACUCAACCAGAGCCCGCAAGUUUACUAUUCACCCUAAAAUGACAGGUGUACUGUAUCUUUAAAGUAUUGAUGCCCUUGUAUGUUGGAUCAAGCUGAAUAAAGAGCUCACUUUGGGCCUGAGAAAUGGCCUUGGAAUAAUCCUUGUAACUUAAUGAAUAGACGUGCCACUAUUGGUACUUGGCUAAGACCAAUAAAAGAUGUGUUACUACUAUGUUGUUUGAAAUGUUUAAGAUUCACGCUCAAUUUCUUAAAAUCUAAUCAAGGCAUUGUGUAACAAGUGAGGAACUGACUUUGAUUAGUUCUUUUUAAUGCCUUGUAUGAUUAAGAACUUCAAUAUUCUACUUUGUAUGAUAAUAAGACAAAGUCUGAUACAACAGUAUACAAAUUAAGUUACACUGCCGAAUAUGACAUUUACACUAUUGACGUUGCCCAAUUUGAGCUUUAAGAUAUAAGAAAGAGUAAAUAUCCUUGUAUUGAGAUUAAAACAUGCUAUAUUACAACUUGGAACUGAAUAUCUCUCUAUUCAGUUCAAGAUACAAAGAGUUGAUGAUAACUAAAGAACUUAUAAGACUAAUUCUAUAAACUAGGAAUCAUUCCAAGUGAUGACAGAGCAAUAAACAAAAGAAAUCUCAAGAGUGGUCAGCUGGAAAUCUUAAAAUGAAGAGUGCAAUUUGAAUUCAACGAGAUCAUGUAUUGAUUAAGUUUGAAUGUUGAUCUCAUUUUGAAUGUGAGAGAGAUUGUCUAUGUCCCGUGCAUUUCCAAAUUGGUAGUAUAUAUAACCCUCUUGGUAUUUGUAUAUGCACGUGUGGUGAUAAGAUGGCUGAAUCUGCUAUCAAUCCUUCUUUUACGGGUGAGUUGGUGAACUCGAAUGCCUUGCUUCUUAAGUUGACGGUGAGAACUGGCCUUAGUCUAGUCUUUUGUUGACAAGUUAGUUCAGUAGGCCUUUAAUGUUCAAAUCGCAUUUAAUGUGGUUGCUUAGUCCUUGGUUUACCACCUAAAAUCUCCCCCAGUUGUCAAGAUUAGACGAAAUCCUUUGGGUAAAGUGUAUUUACCUGGGUAAACCCAUUUAGACUGUGGGUAAAAGUGCUAAGUCAAAGAGCAAACAAGUUUGGGCUGCAGCCAUUGGGUCCAUGACUUGACCCAAUUGAGACGCUAUCUCUUCCUUAGCUUGGAUAGAAACCUUGACUUUUUGGCCCAAAGCUAAUUCUCGUGAUGAUUGAGGCCUUACCCCAUAUGUUCUAAUUCUCUCAUGGUAUCAAGAGUCUAUUGACUUACAGUCAGAAAUUUUUCUUCUUUUCUAUUCCUCAUGGCCUCUUCUUCUGAUUCCGGUGAUGCUCUUCCCUCUGUCUCUCAAGCUGUUCAUUUCAAGCUUGAUCGAAAUAACUAUCCCAUUUGGUUGGUCUAGAUUCUCCCUCUCCUCAAAAGCCGUAAUAUGAUGUCCUUUGUCAAAGAUGAUGCCAUAGCUCCUCUUCCUUUUCUUACGAAUGACAAGGGCAAGCUUACUGAUGUCAUUAAUCCUACUUACGAUACUUGGAUUCAACAAGAACAAUUGGUUUUAUCCUGGAUCAAUAGUUCUUUUAGUUCUACAGUUCUUGCCACUGUCGGUUGUCUUACUUACUUCUGCUCAUUCUACUAGGGUGGGUCUUGAAAAAUGUUUCGCCUCUCCGAAUCAGAAUCGGAUUUUGCAGCUUCGUAGUGGUGAUUCCUCCAUUGCUGAUUACUUGGACAAGGUCAAUGUUAUUGCCGACAACCUCACGUUAUCUGGUUCUCCUAUUCCUGACUCCGAUCUUCUUGCUAUCAUUAUGAAUAAUGUUGGGCCCUUAUAUGAGUCUAUUGUUGCGUCUGCUCAAGCCUGUGAAACCCCUAUUACAUAUGCCGAUCUUGAGGCUCUCUUACUCUUUGCUGAACAACGCCAUCUUGCGGUUCAUACUCCUACAUGUGAUGGUCAUGUUGAAGUUGGCUCACCUAAAGAUAUGAAAGGAGUGAAGGAAAUAGACGGUCAAAAGAGCUGUAGUCGUUUUGACUGGGCUUUGCCGCUCGAGCGGCAAAAUGGUGGUUUCUUGCCUAGGCACCGGCGCUCGAGAGAAACCUGCUCGCUCUCGAGCGACAGAGCGAGAAUUCACGCUUUCUGCUUGAGCUGGAGGCGAGUCUCCAACGCAGAUCCUUGGUGAAUUAGGAUAGAUUGUCACCCUAUGACAUAUAAAUAGGCAAUUUAAUGCUAGGUUAUUAUAACGUGAGAAAACUAAGGCAUGAAAUUGAGUUUGAGCCAAGACUGAGAGAAAAGAGAGCUAGGGUUUGUCAGAUAGCAAAGGGGAUUCUUCAUUGUAACCAAAUGGGUUCUUUCAUACUAGUGAAUUUCUCAGGGAUCACCAAGAGGACAUAGGCACAACACUGAAUUUCUAUAAAUUCUUGUGUUCUUUGUUUGCUUCUUUACUUUUCGAUUUGUGUGUGCUUUAUCUUUGUGUGGUUUAUGUCUGAUAGUUCUAUAGUCCAUCAACGACAAGGUCUUGGAGUGUUUUUCACAACAUAUUGUCCCACAAAAUCCAAAUGCCACUAGAGUAACAAUUGGCAUUGACAACCAAGGAAAAUCAUUCUUGACAACAAAUGCAACCAGAGUCCAACACACCAUUCUUGACAUCAACAAGGAUCUUCUGCAUCAAAGCAGUUGUCCAAAUAAACAAGGGUUUGUAGCCCCAAAGUAGAGUCAUUAGCAGGGUUAAAGGCCCUUAAACUGACUGGUGCAUUUCUGGAAGGUUACCAAGGGUUGUGGACUUUCUUGCUUCUUUUCAAUUGAUCAUUUUAAGAACAUCUCACACGUAUUUUCACUCGUUAAUAUUGUAAUUGUAGCAUAAUUUAGUGUUGACACAAAUAUAUUUUUCUUUAAUUAAAAUUGAAUUGUAUAGUUAAUCUAACUUUCUCAUAGAUUUAUUGACACAUUGUGCAUAGGCAUCAAGCUGAGCCUCAUAAAAAUGAAUUCCAACAAUUGGCUCUUAUAUAUAUAUAUAUGUUGCAUCCUUUAAGUUGGAUGAGCUGCAUAAUACAGUAUUUAGGCUUUGGAAGGCAAUGGGACCCACUUGAGGUACUCUGCAAGAGCCCACAGAGGGUAGAUGUUUCUGUAAGCUGCAUAAUGAAGCAUGCAGUUCUUCAUGAUCACUCCUGUAAUUUCCUGCCAUAGUUCAGUGAUUAACGGUUAGAAAAAGUUAAAAGUAAAAAUUAAGCAGAUUGUAAUGCAAGUCAUGCUAUGCUAAGAAAGGUACCUGUUGGGGAAAAUCCCCAUUUUCCAUUUGAGAAUUGAUAAUCAACUUGGCCGCGCGAUGAAGAGGUGCAGGGUCUCUGUCUGCCUGUCCAGCAUGAAUCAGACCCAUCAUAGCCCAUCCAGUGUGUACUAAAUUUGAUCGGUUUCCUUCUAGCGGAACGUACUCCUGAAUCACCCACCACAGAGACAAAUAUUUUAAUGUAAGACAAUAGGAUUGUUUAAGAAACUUGAAGCUUAAAAAUACAAUCCACCUCCUCAUUUUACCUUUUUGGGACAUGAAAGGUAGCUCUCUACCCAACCACCAUUCUCUCUGUGUUUUGAGUAGAAAGUUAACCCCUUUGCGCAUGGCUAAACAAUUAUUGAAAGUCUUGCCGGCAGCUGCUAACCCUCCAAGGGCAAACCAGGAACCAUAUGUGAAGCAAACUCCCCAAUUUCCAUACCUGUGCAAAAUGUUCCUCAACUAAGUUAUUCUUCUCCUCUAGUUGUUAAUUGAAACAAACAUUUAUAUAUUUACAUAUCUGACUAUCUAAACAUACCAUGAACCAUCUGGCAUUUGUAUACUUUCAAUGUACUGCGUAGCAUUGGUAAUGGAAUGAUCAAUCUCUUUCUUCCUGUGCCCAGGAUACAACUUCUUAAACAGAACCAAAGCCUGAAUUGCAGUUGAAGUGCAUUCAACAUAUUCAUGCUCAACCACAAUGUCUGCGAAGAAUUCAGUGGGAUUUAACAUCUAGGGGAAACAAAAAAGAGAGAGAGACUAUAGAGUAUCUGCUAAUGGAUAUUUCAAGAACAUUAACUUCUUACUUCUAACCAAUCUGACUCCAAUUUGUUAAAAUGCUUACUUCUAACCAAUCUGAAGCUCCUGCUGGUUCCCAGGCUGCAAAACCACCAUUUUUACUCUGCAAGGAGUUGUAAAAUAAAGCUUUUUUAUUUAUGAGUUGAGUACAGAGACAUAGAAGACACAAUUUGCUUACUGCAGGGAAACCACAUGCUACUCAAAACUCAUAUUUAUGACUUAAGAUACGAGAUAAGAGUACUUGAAGACACAUUAGUUGUUACCUGUAGGGAAAGUAGGACAUUGAUAGAAUCAUAUAAUCGCUCAGGUUCCAUUUUUUCACCAACUAUAUCUGGUCGCAUCAUUGAGAACAGCAGGCAACACUGUAGAGAGGGCUAUUGUGAGAAACAUGGAGAUAACCAACAGGGUGGAUAUCUCAAUUGAUGCGUUCGUUACCUUUAAACCCUCUGCAGUGCAAUCAGAAACUUGCCAUCCAUGGUCUUGAUCAGAGAAAAUCCAUGAUCCCUUGGAAAUAUGGCGGUACAUGCUUUUGAAGUCACCUGAUGGAUUGUCCUUGACCUGUACAGUUUGAGUGCAAAGGAUUCAUUAGUCUGAACAAAUGAAUGGUUACACAUUUACACUUAAAAAAAAAUGAUAAUUUAGUUGACUCUAGUUAAAAUUGAACCUGAGAUUUCUCGAUGAAGUCAAGUCCUCUAGCGAGCGUAGGUCCAAUUUCAUCAGUGAGAUUGCUAGCAAGCAAAGCUUGAAUUGCAAACCCAGUAUCCCACUCUUGACUACCAAAACUCUGCAUAUAUCAGUCAAACAAUAAAUAUGUCAACUUCUAGGUGAGUUACUCCUUAAAAUUAAAAGCAUUUGUGAAUAUAAAAAAUAAUAAAGAAGUUUACAACAGUCCAUAAAUAAUUUGGGAUGCUUUGUAUACCAACCUGCAUCUUCAUCCCAUCUUCAGCAACCCAUAAAUAAUCUGGGAUCCUAGCAAGAUGCUUCUUAAAAUAGUCUCCAUUUGGAUCUUCAGCCCAACAAGCAAGCAUACAUAACACCUGUUCAAGUAAUGCAAAUAACAUGAUGAGAAUCUGAAAAGCUAAUAUUUUUCUCCAGUCUCCUAUAAGGUACAUCAGUAUCCUUAUCCACAUUACCUUUUCCACACAUCCAGUGGUAAUAUAUCUACUGUUUUCAUCUUCAUAAUGAAAAUGCUUCAUUGUUACUUGAAGAGCUUUUUCUCUGAUCAACUUGUUAAACGGCCAGCGAGUAAGAAUAGGCUCUGUACAUAGGUAGAGACUAUCCCACAUAAUGUCCUCUAUCCAAGGGUGAGGGUAGUAGAUAUCCUCCUGCAAUUAAAUUACCGUAAUCAGGUUCUGUACAUAAACAAGAAUCAUAAACUGAUUAAUUCAUUUAACUAAGUUUAACUCACUUUCGCGCAGUGAUGGCGAACUCCCUUCCAAUUAAUUUCAUUGUAAGGUUGAGCAUAUAGUUCUUCCCUUAAUUGCAGAAUGAGAGGUGUGAUUGGGCCAACAAACCUCUUCCCAUAUAAAUAUGACAUAGGCAUGUAAACCAUCCUACAAUAGCACCACAUUUUUGCUGCAUUUUCAAGAUAAAAAAGGUUAAAAAUUAAGAGUCCUAACUAAAUCACAAGGACACUCCUUGAGUUUGCAGAGUUCUUCAAUCUGCAGGUGUGCUAACCUGGAUGCAUAGGAAGAAAUGAAGGCAGCAUCCAAAACUCCGGCGGCAUUGGGUUGCUUCCAGACCACUCAAACACGCCAAGUAUCUACAACAAAAGCAACAUACUCAUAUUAAUUGAAGCCUAAUAAAUGAAACUGUUACUCAUAUUUUUUCCAUUCAACAAGGCCAUACGUACCGAAAGCCAAGUCUUUCCCCAAGAGGGCAUGUUUGUGACACUACCAUGAUCAAGAAUCCAUUUCCUUGCUCUGGCACAAGCAUUGUCCUGGCCUCCAUCGGGUCCUCCUCCGAGAAUGCGCAUACAAAUGUAGCUCAGGGCUGUGCAGAACAUGGUGCUAUGGCCUUCAAUAUGUAAUCCCCAACCACCAUCUUGAUUCUGAAAAUACAUUACCAUUCUUUAUAUACUAGUUUAACACAAAAUAUGCACAAGGAGUGGAAAUUGAAUUUAAAAUUUGAUCCCAUUUGUGUGAACAAAUAUACCAAAUAAGUAUGUACCUGAUGAUAGUGUUAGAAUUCUCAGUUUGUAUGUGUAUUUUCAGAUUAGGAAGAGGUGCUCAUUCUAGAGCAUUUUGCUAGAGAGAGUGAAGAGAAAAAUAGGAAUGCACUGUUCUAUUGAAUUCAGCAAAUUCUGCAGCACACAUAGUGUGACUGACAGAGAGAGAAGUGUGAUUCUCUCUAACAGAAUUACAGCUGUCACCCUAUUAGGUGAUUACACAUGUCAUACCAAAUCUAAGCUAGAGAAUCCACCUAGACUAUGAUCUAAUGGUUCUCAUUACAUCAUUUAAAUAGACUUAGCAGGAAAACAAAAAAUAGAAGAUGACUUCAGCUCUAGGAAAUCUGCAGAAGGAUUAUAUUUCAACACUCCCUUCUAAUCCUUUGGCUGAUUUCACUCCAAGCAAGCUUCUCAGCCUUACAAACCGAUCCUUAGGCAGAGCCUUAGUCAAAAUGUCUGCUAUCUGAUCUUCUGUCUUGCAAUACACCAGUUCAAUUUCUUUUGCUUGAAUGGCUUCCCUUAUAAAAUGAAAUUUCCUGCUGAUGUGUCUUGUCUUUUGGUGAUGAACUGGAUUCCUUGCCAUUGCAAUUGCAGAGGUGUUGUCACAUAGAAUUGGAGUCCCUUCUACCUGUUCUUCACCAAAAUCUUCAAGCACAAAUUUGAGCCACUUAGCUUGUGAAGUUACUUCUGCAGCACUCACAUACUCAGCUUCGGCUGUAGAUAGAGCAACUGUGUUUUGCUUGUGGAAGCCCAAGAGAACAUGCCUGAGCCUAGUGUGAAGGCAUAUCCUGAGGUGCUCCUCAUAUCAUCCUCACUCCCAGCCCAGUCACUGUCACAGUACCCAAUUAGAGUAGCUGUUUUCCCCUUUUCAAAUUCAAUUCCAAAAUCCAAUGUGCCUUGUAUGUAUCUCAGCACCCUUUUAGCAGUUCCCAUAUGUUUCUUUGAGGGAUUGUGCAUAAACCUAGCAAGCAAGCUAGAUGCAAACAUGACAUUUGGUCUUGUGGCAGUCAGAUAAAGCAGACUUCCUACAAUCUGUCUGAAUUCACUUUCAUCUGCUGCUUCACUCCCAUCUUCUCUACACAAUUUCUCAUUCACCACUAAUGGAAUUGCCACUGACUUGCAGUCUCUCAUUCCAAACUUCUCAAGAAUUUUCAUGGCAUAUUUCUUUUGAUGAAUGAAAAUAUGCUUAUUAGUUUGUUCCACUCCCAUGCCAAGAAAAUGGUGCAACAGACCCAAGUCUGUCAUCUCAUAGUGUUGCAUCAUAUCUUGUUUAAAUUCUUCAAGCAUUUUAGGGCAGCUUCCAGUAUAUAUAAUGUCAUCUACAUAAAGUGAGACAAUGAUAAUACCUGAGGUGUUACUUGUUUUGAUAUAGAGAGUAGCUUCACUUAAGCUCUUCUUAAAACCUGCAGUGUUGAAAUAGGCAUCUAUUUCAUCAUACCAGGCCCUUGGGGCUUGUUUCAGUCCAUAUAGAGCCUUGUUCAACCUGUACACCUUGGUUUCCUUGCUCUCUUGAACAUAUCCUUGAGGUUGUUCAACAUAAACUUCCUCCUUUAGAAUGCCAUUGAGAAAGGCAGACUUCACAUCCAGUUGAAAUAGGUUCCAUUCCUUUUGUGCUGCAAGGGCUAUCAAAGUUCUGAUGGUGUCAAGUCUUGCCACAGGGGCAAAUGUCUCAUUAUAGUCGAUUCCAGGCUUCUGUGAAUAGCCUUUAGCCACAAGCCUAGCUUUAUUCUUCUGCACAGUACCAUCUAGGUUCAGUUUGACCUUGUAGACCCACUUAACACCAAUUACUGGUUUGUUAGAUGGCCUGUCAACUAAUUUCCAAGUAUUGUUCUUCUCAAUCAUCUCCAAUUCAGCCUCCAUUGCACAUCUCCAUGAUUCAUCCAAAUCUGCUUCUUCAAAGCUGUCAGGUUCUACAAUGCACAUGUUGCAUUGUGCCAUUAUGUCAUUAAUACUCCUCCACUCGUGAGGUGUGUGAUCAAACCUUUGAGUCUCAUCAAGCAUUUCUUCCCCUUGAGGUGCAAUUUCUUCUUCCAUCUGCAUUUGAGUAUCCAAAAACUGAGAUUGUUCAUCUAAUAGCCUCUGUUCAGUUUCUGCAGUACCUUGAUUUCCAUCUGGCAUAGGCAUUCUCACAUCUGCAUUGCUAGGAUUCUCCCACUUCCAUGAGGCUUCUUCAUCAAAAUAGACAUCCCUAGACAAGAUAAUCUUUCUAGUCUUAGGAUCAUAGAGUCUAUAGCCUUUUUACACAAUCCAUAGCCCACAAAAAUGCAUUUGUGACUGUUUUCUUCCAACUUGUGUCUCAAAACAGAAGGAAUAAGUACAUGACAUAGGCAUCCAAACACUUUCAAGUGUGCAAUACCUGGCUUUCUUCCUGUGUAGGCCUCAAAUGGUGUCAUUUUCUUAAGAGACUUAGAAGGACACCUGUUGAGAAGGUAGACUGCUGUAUGGACAGCUUCUGCCCAAAACUCAUAAGGAAGACUCUUUUCAUGUAGCAUAGACUUUGCCAUCUCAAUCACAGUCCUGUUCUUCCUCUUAACAACUCCAUUUUGCUGAGGGGAAUAUGCUACUGUCAGCUGUCUUUGUAUUCCAGCCUCACUGCAGUAUGCAAGGAAUUCAUUUGACAUGAAUUCUCCACCUCUGUCACUUCUAAGUGAUUUCACUUUGUGUCCACUCUGCAAUUCUGUCAUUGCUUUGAACUUCUUGAAACAUUCAAAAGCAUUAGAUUUAUUUCUGAGAAAAUAAACCCAAGCCAUUCUUGUAUAGUCAUCAAUGAAUAACAGGAAAUAUCUGUUUUCUGACAUUGAUGCAAUCUGCAUUGGACCACAGAUGUCAGUGUGAACUAAUUCAAGUGGAAACUGAGCUCUCCAAGUAGAUUCUGCAAGAAAUGAGUCUCUAUGCUGCUUUCCCAGCUUGCAGCCUUCACAAAUUGCAAAAUCCUUCUCCAGACUAGGCAGUCCAUGAACCAUGUCUUGAUUUGCCAACAUCCUGAUGCUUUGAUCAUUAAGAUGGCCCAGCCUUUUAUGCCAAGUCUGCAAACUGUGAGUCACACUUGCUCUCAGCACCAACUGAGUAGCAGGUACCAUUGUGAGAGAGAAACACCUAUUGCUAGUCAUUGGAACCUUAGCUAUAGGAUUUUGCAGCGACCAAUCAUCAAAAAUUGUCACCAUUCCCUUUCCAAAUACUAAACAAUACCCAUGUUCCAUCAUCUGACCAACACUGAGCAAGUUCUCUUCUAAACCAGGCACCAACAUCACUUCUUAAAUGUGUUUUCUGCCUGUCUUGGUUUCUAUCACAAGUGUACCUUUUCCUGCAACUUGAACUGUCUCUCCAGUCCCCAUUUUCACCUUGGAAGUUACAUCCCUUCGAAUAUCUAUCAGUAGCCUUUCAUCUCCAGUCAUGUGGUUGCUAUAGCCACUGUCCACAUACCAAGAAUUGUUCAAUUUCACAUCUGUCACAGCAUUGCAUGCAUAAAACAAUGUUCCAGUUUCUUCAACCUGAUUGGCAUAAUUCACCUUCUGCACAGGUUGGUUUCCAUGGCAAUCUCUAACCAUGUGACCAAACUUUCCACAUCCUCUGCAUUUUGGUUUUCCUUCAAACCAGCACUUGCCAUAGUGCAGUUUUUCACAGUGCUUGCAGGGUGUUUUAGUUCCUUCAUUUGAUGCAUUUGGUUUGGAAUUAGAGUUGGACUUGUUAUUCCAAUUCUUCCCAUUUUCCUUCCAGUUCUUCUGAGACUUGUUACCUCCAGAAGAACUUCCAUUCUUAGACCUUUUACUCUCUAUGUUUAGGGUAGUAAAAGCCUUUUCUGUGGAGUUUUCAGUGUGCCUAUCCAAUCUGAGCUCCAAUUUCUUGAGAGACGCAACCACUUCUUGAAUUUCAAGAGUGUCAAGAUCCUUUGAAUGCUCAAUCACAGAACAUAUAGAGUCAUAAGAUCUAGGCAAGCUAAUAAGCAAUUUCUGCACAACUCUUUCUCUAGGUAACUCUUCACCAUAACUUUUCAUUUGAUUAAUUAGAUCAAACGGUUUAGCUACAUAACCAGAGAAUGACUCACUAUCCUUCAUACGAGUGUAUUCAAACUCUCUACGUAAGCCUUGUAGUUUCACACUUCGUACCUGUUUAUCGCCUCUAAACUCCUGCUUCAGAAUAUCCCAUGCACCUUUUGAGGUUUCCUCAUUCACUAUUCUGGAAAAAAUUUGGUCUGAGACUGCACCUUGGAUCAGUCCAAGUGCACGAGCAUCUUUCAUCAAAAUCUCAGCCGAUGUAGACUUCUCUUCUUCAGCAGCUUUAGAUCCUUCUUCCUUUCCUUUUUCCUUCAUUGGAUCUGAAGCAUCAAAGCCAUUUUCAACCAAAUCCCACAGUCCAUGAGAUUUCAGAAUGGUCUUCAUUCGAAUGCUCCAAAACUCAUAGUUUUCUCCAUUGAACACUGGUGUACGAAACUCAGAAGAGCUUGAUACUGCCAUGUUAGACAUCAGACGCAGCUAGAAAGGCUUCGUGAAAUUUUGAGUGAGCUCAACGUCAGCUCAGCCAAGCACCAGCUCGAAUGUCACAGAUUCACGCCCAAUAAACAAUCAAACCUGGCUCUGAGGCCAUGUUAGAAUUCUCAGUUUGUAUGUGUAUUUUCAGAUUAGGAAGAGGUGCUCGUUCUAGAGCAUUUUGCUAGAGAGAGUGAAGAGAAAAAUAGGAAUGCACUGUUCUAUUGAAUUCAGCAAAUUCUGCAGCACACAUAGUGUGACUGACAGAGAGAGAAGUGUGAUUCUCUCUAACAGAAUUACAGCUGUCACCCUAUUAGGUGAUUACACAUGUCAUACCAAAUCUAAGCUAGAGAAUCCACCUAGACUAUGAUCUAAUGGUUCUCAUUACAUCAUUUAAAUAGACUUAGCAGGAAAACAAAAAAUAGAAGAUGACUUCAGCUCUAGGAAAUCUGCAGAAGGAUUAUAUUUCAACAGAUAGUAUAUGUAACGCAGAAUUUCUUUGCGAUGCUCUGCUGGGAAUACAGUAUUAAGAUGCCCUAUAAUGUAUGUACACAUGACCUGAAAAAAAAAGAAUUCAAAAGGGAAAAUUAGUAAAACGCUCCAAAAUUUUAGUAAAAAACUCUAAUAAAUAACUGUAAUUAUAAGGAAAUUAGAAAUUAUACACUCACCAAAGGAGGAAGGAAAAACAAUGGGCCAGCAUUUUCAGCAGGCCAAUGGCCAUCACUUGCCUGCAUGGCUGAUAAGAAGUGAACAGAUAUUCUCAGUGAGGCUGUUGCCUUUUCAUAUGUGAUUUCCUCGCCAUCCUCAACCUUUACUGGGGGAAUUGUCUGCUUGAAGUUCUUCUCUUUUAGGAACUGCAGUUUAGUGAACAGAGGAGAGGAUUAACAUUGGUAUUAGAGAAAAAGUAAGUUAAUUCAUGAUGCUGAUUACAGUCGGGUGCUAAGUUUUGGAGGCCCUAGCCCUAGGCCAACCACCAAAAUGUGACCUUAUGUUAUGUUUUUUUGGAUACGUAGAAAAAAAUUAUAUGAACUCAAAGUCACAAUUGUAAUCUAAAAGAAACAAACAAAAUUUAAUUCACAUAAAAACUUUAUAAAAUACAUCAAAACAUCACUUAAAUAUCACCUUUUUUUUUGGGACGAAAUCACUUAAAUAUAACUCUUCUUACAUUUUUCGAUGCAAAAAGUAUCAAUCAACUUUACAUAAUGAAGUUUUUCUAUCAUGUCUUUUUCAAUAUCUAUAUAUAUAAAGCAAAGGGCAGAGAAUGAUGAAACAUUCAAAAUACCAGAAAAUGCCCUUGAUUAAUUCAAAUAUUAAAAUUUUAAAAUAUUAAUUAAAUGAGGAUAAUAUGGUAAAUUCAAAAUUUUAUAUUAAAAAAAUUAAAAUUAAAAACAAAAUCAAAUAAUAAGUUCUACUUUUAUAGAACAUAACUACCUAUAUUAUUUUUUCUUAAUUAAAAAAAUAAAAAAAAAAAUAAAAAAAUAAAAAAAUAAAAAAAUAAAAAGAAAACCAAUUGACACAUGCGCAAGAGGCUAGUAAAAUAUAAAGCAAUAGUCUUGUAGGUUUUUACCUUCUUGUUCUUCCUCCAAGAACACUUCCUCUUGCAGUACAUAUAUUAACUCAUUAAACUUUUUAACUUUUUUAAAAAUAAUAAUAAUUGGUCCUUUAUUGAGUUUCCUUUUCUAAGUUUUAGAGUAGAUAAUUGGGCUUUUUAAAAAACAAUACUUGCGCUUAAUAUAAUAUCAAUACAGUACAAAAGUAACAUACAUACAUAUAUAUAUAUAUAUAUAUAUAUAUACAGAGAGCUUCCAUUGAGGGAUCCCUCAAAUAAUUAUUUGAGGGACACCCCUUGUAGGCCCCACUCCGGAUUGUAUUUCACUAAUCCAAACCGUCUAUUUUGUAGAUACUCAUUCAAAGAUCAUCCCUACAAAAAAUCACUUGAAUCCGAUAUCAUUUGACCACUCAAUUAAGUUAUUGAAAUUUUAGCAUUUUCUUGAAGUACCGUGUUCAUUGAUUUUGUAAGACACAAUUGGAUGUCGAAACGGUUUCCAAUUUGUCUAAUUUUUUGUUAGGAUGAUCUAUGAAUGAAGACCUAAAAAAUAGAUGGUUUGGAUCAUUGGGAAAAAAAUUGUAGGGUACCCUAAAGGGCGUCCCUCAAAUAAUUUUAUUUAAGGGAUCCCUCAAUAGAAGGGGACUGUAUAUAUAUAUAUAUUGGCUUUAAAAAUUGGGGGCCUUAGACGACCGCCUUACCCGUCUAUCCUCUAGGUGAUUAUAGAACAAACUUAUGAGUGCUAAUUAAAAACAAGAAAAAGUAUUCAAAGCUGACAGGUUUAAAGCUAACUAUUUGUCUAGUUUUAUUUUUAUUUUUUUUCCUUAUUUUACUUUUAUUUUUUAAUAAGAUACUAGCCCCUUGGCACAUGCUUGCCAAUUGGUUUUUUUUAUUUUUUUAUUUUUUUAAAAUUAAGAAAAGAUAAUAUGGGUAGUUAUAUUCCAUAAAAAUAGGACAUAUUAUUUGAUUUUGUUUUUAGUUUUAAUUUUUUUUAAAUGAAAAAAAUGUGAACUUACCAUAUUAUCCUCAUUUAAUUAAUAAUUUUAAUUCUAAAUGUUUGAAUUAACCAAGGGUAUUUUUUGGUAUUUUGAAUGUUUCACUGUUCUCUACCUUUUGCUUUGUAUAUAUAGAUGAUAUCAAGUUUGAAACCCUUUUCAAGAUUUUUAUAAUAAUUUAAUAAUAAAAACCAAGCCAAACAUACACACAGUCAUGUUCUCUUGCUAAACUUAAGUCUAAAGAGAACAUUACCAAGUACUAACGAAAUUAAGUGGAUAAAUACCUGCAAACGCCAUAGGAGGUCACUGCUAGGCUUGACCUGAUAGCGAUUAUUGUAGAAAUUAAGACGAGCUUCUUCCACCUCGGCUCGCUCUUCUGGAGUUCCUGCCUCGGCAUCAAACUCAAAUAUAUGCCUCCCCACAAAGUCGUUUGUGCUGUAGAUGUAAGGGUCAUUCCCUCCAUCUGCAACCUUAAGCUUCCACAUUCUUCAAAUAUAUAUAUAUAUAUAUAUAUAUAUAUAUAUAUAAAGCUAUAUAUAGCUACCAACUGCUGUUCUACCUUGAUAUCAAUCUUCUCAGUAAGAACCUGUUUCAUGCAUCUGCAAUGUAUAAGUCACAAUUAAUUCACCAUAAAGAUGUGCUAGGUAGCUUGGUGAAUAUAUACAUACAAAGGAUCCCCUGGCUUUCCAUAUUUUGUAAAUGUAUCAAUUGUUGUAUAUAUAGUGUGUACAGAUAUUUAAGAGAGAGAGAGAAACCCCGUACGUGCAGUUUGCAGUUUGCAAAGAAGCUGCAGAAACCGUAUUGUAGAGUUUGGUUAUAUAGCUAUGAAUGAAAGAGAGGCGGGGCUGGCCAGCUAGCUAGCUCAUAUAUAUAUAUAUAUAUAUAUAUAUAUGUGUGUGUGUGCGUGUGUUGUAUAUGUAUGGUUAAUGCGCACACAGAGAGAGAGAGAGAGAGAGAGAGAGAACCUCUAGUGCAGUUUGCAAAGAAUAUUGAAUUUGGUUAUAACGAGAUUAAAUGCAGGAGAACUUUAUAGACAAAACAAACAAUAUGAGGUAUAUAUGACAUGCCAUGUGAUGUUAUUGUUUUUGGUCUUUGGUAAUUAAGCUGAUCAGCUAUACGUCAUUUUUUUCAACGAAGUCGGCAUUUACCCAUUGCUGCUAUUGCCACGGCCAAGCCACCACAGAUCCCUUAAUUACGUGAAUGGCUUGAUUUGAUAGACUGGUGAUCUUGUGAGAGGGGUUUCUCAUACAUACUGUGGGAGUGAUUUUCGUCCACGAGAAUAUUCAUCUAAGAUUCCGCCUUCCUCUUCGUUGUCUCUUUCUCCCUGCAAAAUAAAUCGGAAUAAGAGGAUCACACCCGGGGGGUGUUGGCCAAAGGCCCGCCAAUGCCUAAGUUAGUUCAAUUGAUUUGUGGAGAAACAAUAGCUAAAAAAGGUACGGAGAUAUAUGUAUGGUGUGAACCGGGCAGCCGGAGCCUUGAGAGAGAGAGAGAGAGAGAGAGAGAGAGAGAGAGAGAGAGAGAGAGAGAGAGAGAGAGAGAGAGGAGGCGGCGAGGAGGGUAUUUUUGCAGAGGUUUGGCAGCUUAGAAUGGCUUACCUCAUGCCUUGCAUGGCCUUGUACUUAUAGAGCCUCAUAGAGUUAGGAUUUGGAGAAAAAUAAUCCUUGUUGGGAAAUGAAUUAUUUUUCUGAUUUUAGGAGAUUUAAAUCAAUUAGGGAUUUAAUGAGAAACAAAUCCCUAAUUCAAGGCAAGAAUCCCCAACUGGAAGGAAAUAUUUGACCUAGGGUUUUGCUAAAAUUCGGUUCCCACAAAUGCCCCCCCCCCAGCUUUUGCAUGGUGCGCGGUGGCAUGUAGGAGAUGUUGAUUGACUGUUAGACUGAGCUUCCUUCUUGGAUUUGGGAUCCUGAGUGGAUGAGGUAUUCCCAAUUGGAGUGGGCUUCUAACUAUUCUUGGAGUUGGAUUCCCAGUAGGAAUAUGCUUGCGAUUCUUUCUUGACCUAGGAUGCCCAACCUGUAUAAAUGCAGAACUUUUCUUCACUUUUCUUCGUAUCGCAAACUUAACUUCUCUACUUUCUACCUUGAGAGAGAUCUUGUAGAAUUUAUACUGCUUGUCAAAGAGAGGAGUUGCCAUGCAUCCCAAGGGAAGUCGAGCAUGUAUAUUUUUUCUUCGUCUUAUCUUUUUUUGUGGCAACAACCAGUUGGGGGAAGCCCGACUGGUUGUCAUCGUGACAGGUGAUGGCUGGCUGUGGGCGGCAGCAGUGAUGGAGUAGGUGCUCACAGGUGGGCCAGCUACUGCCUAUCGUUGCAGAUCUAGACUGGAGCGUGCUGAGCCUCAUGAAUUGCGGGCUGCGUCAACUGAGCAAGUAUCGGGAGGAAGUUGGUGGUAUACCCACUGCCCAAGAUGUAUAGAGUUGGAAGCAGAAUGGUCCAUACUCUGAUGAUUUGCCAGUUGGGUAAGAGGAGUGUUCUGUCAGACUCUCUUGAAAAAUGAAGGCUAUUGCCAAGUCUUCAAGAGAUGAAACUGCUUCUUCGCAGGUGAAAAAUGUGUCACUGUUGAGGAAGAAGCCAAAGAUCCCUUCUAUUGAGAAGACUAAAGUAGGAGCUGUUCCCCUGUCAUCAGUUAGGGUUAAACAUCUCGUUGGUGCAGAUAACAAGUAGAUUAGACAUAUGCGCAAUAUUCGGGAUGUUUUACUCAAGCCUCAUGCUGACAAGCUUGGAGACCGCGAUCUGCUAUAUGAAGUAGUCUGCACACAAACUAGUUCACUGCUGAAAGGCAAAGAGAUGUUGAUAUUCCUCUCUGAGGUUCAAGUCGUCUGCACCAGUGAAAGGAUGAAGAUAGAACUGGAAAGUCUGCUCAUCCGCCCAACCAUCAGGUUCCAGUUGUUGAGUCACAAGCAGUAAAGCAUGAAGUUGAUUCAGCUUUGUUGACGCAUUUAGAGGUGAUGAUGGCGGCAGCUAAGAAGACGAGAGAUGCAUCUACCCGGGCGAAGGGUUCUUCUGGCGUGUCUAGACCUACAGGGGAUGCAUGCGUGUCUGAUUUGCUGAAGACAAACUUACUGUCAAGCCCGUCUACUUGCUUCAAGUUGGUUGAUCAUAUCCAUUAGGCUAGCGAUCUUGAUACCUUCUCAAAUAUUUCCUUGAAAAACAAAGGGAAGAAAUAUCAUCUGCUUCAAAAAGAAGUAGUUUUUGCUGCUGAAGCUAUUCGGAACUCGUUUGCUGAAGGAUCCAAGUUCGAACCUACCAUGGAUGUGUAUAAGCUGGGCUACUUGGACUGCAAAAAUGAAAAUAAUCCCUUCUGUGCCAUUUGAGAUUGAGACAUAGAGAUGCUCUGUCCUGACUUGCUCCAAAUGCAAAGUGAGCAGGUUAAUGCUGUAAACAUGGAAGGAGCUGAAGAGUAGGUGGCCGAAGAUGCGGUAGUUGAAGAGGAUGGAGCAGAGUUGGAUGCAGCUGAUGAGGUGGUAGCAGACGUCGUGGAUCCGGCAGGUGGAGCUGCUGAAAUCAUGGCUGAUCAGGCGGAUGUCGAAGAUGCUACAGAUUAGGGAUCUCUUGCCAGCGUCUCGGAGUAGAUGAAGACUCUUUUAUUUCUUUUCAGCUUUUGUAAUCUGCUUUUUGUUUGUUUUGAAUAAUUGGUCUUGUUGGACUAUCUUCUUUUUGUUGAACUUGGCCGGUUGGUCAGCUUUCUAUGGAAAUUUCAGUUAUUUUUUCAACUUCAAUUUGCAUAUUGACUUAUGAAUUGCUAGAGUAACCAGCCCGUAUCUCGAUCGUGUAUCUCCCUUAGGAAAUUUAUAUGUAUCAGGGUCCCCCUUGAGGGACUCCAAGCAUAUUCUGCAUAUCCCGUAGGAUAUUUUUCCCUAGGAAGUUGACAAGUGCCAGGGUCCCUUUUGAGGGACUCCGGACAUGUUCUGCAUAUCCCGUAGGAUGCUUUCUCUUAGGAAGUCGACAAGGGCCAAGUUCCCUCUUAAGGGACUCCGGGCAUGUUCUGCAUCUCCCGUAGGAUGCUUUCUCUUAGGAAGUCGACAAGGGCCAGGGUCCCCAUUGAGGGACUCUGGGCAUGUUCUGCAUCUCUCGUAGGAUGCUUUGGUCAUUGCCCUGCCCCCUUUAGGAAACCAAUAGGAACCUGGAUACCUCUCUCAGAAAGCAUGGAGACCUCCUUUAGGAAAUUCCUUCUUUGGAUAGGAAACGGAUAGGUCCUGUCUGCUUUCGAACUUUCUUUCUUUUUGUUGACCAGCUUCUCUUCUUCGGUUGAUGGGGUGAAUUCUGCGAUGAAGUCUGCUAAAGCCUUGGCUUUUAUUGUAAUUUUUGGCUAGUAAAUGAGGUCGUAUUGGCUUAGUUCUAUAGCUCACUUCAUGAGUCGCUGAGAAGCGUCGAGGCUGGGGAGGAUUGAUCUCAAAAGAAAGUCGAUCAUGACGAUGACUCGGUUAGCUUCAUAGUAGAGUCGCAGUUUUCUCGCAGAAACUACAAUGGCCAAAAUGAUCUUAGCCAAUUUCGGGUAGCGAGUCUCUGCAUUGAGGAGAGCUUUUGAUGUGUAGAUUACCGGAUGUCGGGCCCCUAGUUAUUCUAGGAUAAGAGCUGAGCUAACGACCAAGUUGGAUACUGCCAGGUACACGAAUAAGUCUUCACCAAGAACUAACUUUGAGAGAAUGAGAGAUGAAGUGAGGUAAGUCUUUAGAUUCUAGAAAGCUACUUCGCACUCCUCAUCCUACUUGUCUUUUUUAUCCUUUCUUCAAAGCUUUGAAGAAUAAUCUGCACUUGUCGAUAGAUUUCGAGAGGAAUUUGUUGAGGGCUGCUGCUCUGCCAGUCAGACUUUGUAUUUCCUUCACUGUGAAAGGUGACUUCAUCUCGAGAAUGACUUUGAUUUGGCGUGGGUGUGCCUCGAUACCUAGUUGUGUGACUAGAUAUCCCAAGAAUCGGCCGGAUGAUACACCGAAUAUGCUUUUACUUGGAUUCAGCUUCAUGUGAUACUAGCGGAGCAAGCUGAAUGCCUUGGCGAGGUUUUUCAUAUGGUUCGCAUGUUUGGGGGUUUUGACCAACAUGUCAUCCACGUAGACUUUCAUGGUUUUGCCGAUUUGCUCCUUAAAGAUAUUAUUCAUGAGCCUCUGGUAGGUUGCUCCGACGUUCUUCAGCUCAAAAGGCAUAGCCUUGUAGCAGUAGGUCAUUCUCUCAAUGAUGAAAGAUGUCUUCGCCUUGUCAUCCUCAUGCAUCAGGAUUUGAUUAUAGCCAAAGUAGGCGUCCAUAAAGCUAAGUAGUUGAUUGCAGGAAGUAUAAUCCACGAGCUGCUCGAUUCUCGGCAAUGGGAAGUUGUCUUUAGGAUAUGCUUUGUUGAGGUCAGUGUACUCCAAGCAAACUCUCUAUUUCCCAUUUUCUUGUUUUGCCACUAGAACAACGUUGGCUAGCCACUCCGAGUAGGAGACCUCUUUGAUGAAGUCGGCAAUUAGGAGCUUGUCGAUCUCGGCUUCUGCUCCACUGGCUUGUUGGCAGGGUUGACAUAGAGCCGGGGGCAGAUGAUGUUCGAGUUGAUGUCAUGUAUGUCAAAUGGCGACCAUGUGAACUUAUCUUUGUUGUUCUAGAGGAAGAUGGUUAGCUCCACCUUCUCAUCUGGGCUUAGCCACUAGCCGAUCCGCGCUUUUGUCUGGUUGGUCAGCAUUCAAGUGUAAUAGCUCGACGUCAUCUUCAGGUUUCCAUCAUUCUUCAGGAGAGACCUCCGAACGAAUUCCCUCGGCUUGGUCCUGAUACUUUGAUUGCUAUAAGAGGUAGCUAUUCCCUUUCCUUUCUUGCCUGCUCGGUUGCUAGGAGAGAGAUCUGUUUGCUGUACUCCUCUCCUGCCUGACUCAUAGGGAGGAAUUGUGUUUGCUUACUUUUCUUCAGGCCUUGAGCCAUGCAUUUCCUCACCAUUGCUUGAUCAUUAUUGAUCUGGGCGACACAGCCCUCAGGGAUUGGAUAGCGGAUUUUCUGAUGUGUGGCAGAGUGAUGGCAUUGACUUGCCGAUCCAUGGUCUGCCCAGAAUGCCUUUGUAGGGUGAAACUUCAUCAAUGACCAUGAAUGUUUGCGAGCUCUAUCAUGCCCACGGUAACUGUUGUUGCGUCAUUGAAGCCAGUCAAUAACCUAGCUGAUUUGUGGAUCUUUGUCUCCAAGCCCUCGUAUGCAUGGAUUCGGUCGACCAUUGCCUGAACGAUUUGAGUGCUGAUGACAAUAGCAUCGUUAUGUGGCAUAUCAAGGUUGAUUAGAUCUUUCUUUUGGAAGUCGAUCACGGGAUCAACAUUUGCUGGUGGAAGGUCGGUUUGAUCUUCGUCUUCCUUUCUUUGCUGGUCAGCCCAGACUCCUUAGAGUCGGCUAAGAUUAUGUUAAUCCUUAUGACCUUCUAGGGUGGCUCAUUAGCGGUAUUGCGGUCCUCAAUCUAUUAGAUGACCUGCUUCGCAAUGAAUUUCGUGCAGUGACCUUCUCUCACAAGUUCUUCGAGGUGCGCUUUCUAAGCAAAGCAGUUAUUCGUAAUGAGCCCAUGCGUCCCUUGGAAGACACAGUAUUUUCUAGUAUCUCUUUUCUGGAUCUCCUUUUAAGGGCAGCGAUCUUCAUACCCAAGGUUUGUCCUUCACUUGGACAAAGAUUUGAUGUAUGGGGAUGGAGAACUUGGUGUAGUUCUCUUCUACCGUAGCGUCUCCUUGUGGGUGCAACCUACGUUUGCCCUUGUUCUUGUUGCUAAACCUGUCGCUUCUUUGGCCUGUUCGCUUGGUUGGCUGAUUUUCCUGCUUGGUAGACUUCUUCGCGGUGAUUUGAUAGUCAUCCCAGAGCGAGUAACGUUAUGCGGUCGGGAAGACCUCUACCAAAGUCUGGUUAUGAGUGAUAAUCAGCUUGUGAUAUAAGUCGUGCUCAGUUGGAAGACCUUUCUUGAAAGCAGAAGACGCGAUUCGGUCAUUGCAUCCUAUAAUAUUGGGCUUUUCUGCUUUGAAUCUCUUAAUGUAAUCUCGAAGGGAUUCAUCAGACUUCUUGGCAGGUUGUAGAGGUGGUCAGGUUCUUCUUGAUCGUUCGGUAAGAAGUGUAUUCUUUGGUUAAGACGUAAGCUAGCUCCUUUAAGCUGUUGAUUAACCCGGAUGGUAGGGUGUGGAACUAGUCUUGGGCUACUCCUCGCAAGGUCAUUGCAAACACCUUGUACAUUAGCGCGUCGUUGGCCUUAUAGAGGAUCAUAACACUUUUGAAGUGUUUUAAGAUGGCUCUCGGGAUCUGAAUUCUCUUUGAAAUGCGUGAACAAAGGCGUUGGGAAUCGCUUCGGGGGAGCAGCCUUCUCGAUUUCAGUGGUGAAAGGCGUAAGUUUGCUUGGUCCACCUCUCAGCGUAGAGUAUCUUCGAAAUUUGUAAUCUUUAAGUUUCGAAGUCGGUCGUUUACAAGCUUCUCGAUGUCUUCCGCGCGCAUGGCUUGCCGAUCACGUUGGUGACCUUCGUGAUUCGGGCGAGGAUGGUUGAUUUCCAAGUUGACUCGCAGAGGUCGACUUCCUUGGUUACGUUGCCUAUGGAACAGAUUAAUAGAUUGAGUUUGCACAGAUUCCUGCACGAGUUGUCGUCAUGAGUUAGUUCUCGAGCGGGUUGGUGAGCGCCGAUAGUUGUGUUCGUCAUGCAGUCGUUUAGACUUGUGCCCCUUGUGGCCCAACCUAGAAUGGAUAAAUGUCCAGAAUACCCCUCUUACCCUUAACCGCAAAAUGUAAAACACACUUAAGGGUUUAACUUCUGUCGGAAAACCGAUAUAAUUUCCCCUAUAAAACAUACAUUUCCCAAAAAAAUUUCCACUUGUAAAAAUAUAUAGUUAAAAUUGAAAUUCAAAUCCUAAUCGUUCAACAUGCAUUAGAUAAAUAACUUUAAAUAGUUUCAAACCUCUUUAUACCAAAUAAAUCAUUCUGCCAUCUGAAAUUGGUUACAACUCUUAGAAUAACAUGAAUACGUUAUCAAGUUUCAAUAUAACUUAACUGAACAAAUUUUCAACACUUGAUCUUGUGGCUGCACCUAGUAACUCUAGGUUGCCUACGUACCCUUACUAAGGGAUCAAGCCAUACGUAGUUCUUUCUACAUAAAUUAUAAGUAAACAUAGGUAACUUAAUCAAAUAAAAUCGAGAAACCUUCAUAAGUAAUUCCAAUCAAUCCGCUGAAACUCAAGCAAGGGCUAUUGAUUUCAGAACAAUCUUCCACUCCUUUCACAUGUGCAUAUAUAUAUAUAUAUAAUUGAUUUAUUACUUACAAGUAGGAAAACGUUAAAAUUAUUAAAAUAGCAUUGACCAUGUGAAACUUUAAUGUCAAUAUCAACAAUUUAACUAAAAUAUGUUUCCCUCUUUCACAUGUAAAAACAAAUUCAUCACUUAAGAAAAGACAUUGGAAAAGGCCAAAGGAGAGAGAAAUUUUUUAAAAGAAGCCAAAAUGGACAAAAUUGCCCUUAUUUAUUUUUGGAUUUCCUAAGGAAUCCUUUACAUUUGCAUGUCUUUGGUUUUAAAGUUGAGAGGUUUUUCUGUCUUUUUUGAAAAAGUUUUGGCUUUUUCCAAAAAUGAAAGUUUUUUUGUGGCUAAAACCUAAAUUUACUUUUAGUUUAAAACAUCUCAAAACUCAAACACUCUCCACCUAGGCAUACCCCUAUUUUUGAUCCGUCAAUUCUACUAAUAUUCCAUCAAUACUAAUAAUAUUCCGUCAAUUCCAAUAAUAUUUCUUCAAUUCCAAUUGUCACAUAAGCGACACAUCCUCGCAAGCCUCGAAAACACAAAGUCAACCCGAGCCACAUUCCUUGCAGAACUCGGGAGACACAUAGUCAGCCCGAGUCAGCCCGAGAAUGCACAUCCUCACAGAACUCGGGGGACAUGUAGUCAGCCUGAGAACGCACAUCCUGACCAAACUCGGGAGACAUGUAGUCUGCCCGAGAAUGCAUAUCCUCACACCAUACGGUUCAGGCGUUCCCGAAACUCGUGACGCAUAGUCAUAAAUGACAAAACUGUUUCAAAGGCAACUGGGGGGUAUUCCUGUGGGGGGUUUGAAAAUCAUAUUCCGAAACUUAUCAUAAACUUUCCCUUAUUUCACAAAUCCAUUUUCCAAAUCUUCUAUCAACUUUCUAAAAAAAUCAGUUCUCAACUACAUUUAAAUAAUCCAAUAUCACUCAGUCAUAUACUUUAAUAAUAAUACUAAAUUAUGUAAAAAUAUUAACCCUUAGUGAUCCCAUAUCCUUAUUAACCCAAAUUGAAUUAAAUUUUAAUCAAAACUCACUUAUGCAAGAAAUUCCAUAUUAAAAUAGCGAAGUACACUUAAAAACAAACGUCUACUCAUUUCUUAAUAAAUAUAGCCGAGACCCACGACUCACAUUCAUAACCCACCAAUCAAGAAUUUCAUGCUCAUCUAUUCCAUAACUUCAAUUAUCAAAAUAAUGUCCAAGAAUUCCAUAAGAUACUAUAAAACAAUCUCAUAAUUCCAACAUAAUCAAAAUAACUCAAAUAAUAGUCAAGACUUGUUUACAAGGUCGUUCUAGUACUUCUUCUAGUACUUCUUGAAGGGUAGAACUACCUCAGAAGACUCACGGUCAAUCAAGGGGUCAAACUGCCCAAACUUGGUCAACAUGCGACAUUUGGUUUCGGAUCUGACAGUUCCUACGGGUUCAACAAGGUUGACCAUACAUUUUAUUCAAGUUUGGUUCAAAAUGAACAGUCAGAUCACUCGCGAUCGAACGGUUAUCGUUUACCACAACCUUUAAAUCAUUGAAUUGGCGCAUCCGGGUCUCCGAUUCACAAUCUGCGAAUCCCGACACGAUUCUAGAGAUGCCUAGAUCAACAUAUAUGAAAAUGGAGUCAAUCCAACAGUCUGAACAUAUCGAACCCGAAUAACGCCCAAUAUGCGAUAUCUGAUCGACAGUCAAACGAUAACCAAAUUCAAUUUUUAGUAUAUAGUCGUGCUCGAGAUGACAUGGGCAUCAUUUUAGGACUCAAAGACUAUCCACAAAGUGGCCCAGCUCGUGGGUGUCCAUCGUAAUUUCGUUGGGCAACUUUUGCUCUUGGACCAUGGCCAAAAAGUGAUCAGAACUUGCCGGAAACACGAGCCGAAACUGGCUGAAACUUGAAGCAAUAAUUUGAGUUUCAAAACGCAGAAAUUGAUCAUAGUCAUCCCAACCAUUAGCUAUAACACAUUGAGAGGAUGAAAAUGCAUACCUAGAUCGAAGAAAUUGGUAGCCGGAAUCACCCGAACAAAUUUCAGGAAGUUAUGGGUUAAACUGUUUGAUUUUUCGCCCUUUUCGUCGGCGGUGGCUGGUGGCUGGGGCAGCGGGAGCGGUGAAGGAUCAAGAUGGAGAGAGGAGAUGAUGAUGGUUCUUGUGGGAUCGAUGCCACCCAAAAUGGUGGCCGGAUGCGACGGUGGUGACCCAAAAAGCCACCAGAUGAAUAGUGACAGCAAUAGGGGGUUUUGCGCACAGGAGAGAGAGAGAGAGAGAGAGAGAGAGAAUAAAAAUAUGGGUUUUAAAAAAUUGAUGUUUGAAAUAUUUACGGUUAUGCCACUGGACUUCUGUAGAUCAUAACUUCUUCGUUAUAACUCCGAUUUGAGCCUAUUACGUGUCUACGAACUCAUCUCAACGUACUCUACAUAAUGUUACUACUAAAAUUCCUAAAUUCUUUCCCAAACAAAAAGUUAACUUUUAAACCCAUUAAAAUAUUCUUGAAGUAAAAUUGUCUUUUACUAGAAUAAUUUAAUAAUUAAAUAAUAAUUUAGGAUCGGGUUAUUAUUGUUGGUGAGUCCUUACUUAGUUAGGAUUUUGGUUCCUUAUUUCAUUAGAAUUUUGGUUACUUACCAAUUAUUAUUUAGUCCUUUUGUAAUAGAGAUUUACUUCAUAUUGUAAUUUAGAUAUAUUUCCUAUUUUAUUUUGGGUUAACACAUCUUUAUACUUGUAUAAAUACCUCCAUAUUGGAGAAGAAUAAUAAUAUGAGUGUAUCUUAGCAUAACUGAAUAUUUGCCAUACUUUGUUUUAACAUGGUAUCAGAGCCAGGUUCCUAACCUGUGAUAACCUCUGCCAAAUUGAGAGUCGUUAGCACUCCUCAUACUUAACCCAUCAUGGGUCUUCAUCUUGUAUAGUCAUCUUCUUUUGUUCAAUCUUCUUAUACGUGUUUUCACCGCCCCUAGCCUUCACAUGCUUCUUUGCUACUUUUCAAUUUUUUAUUUUUUAUUUUUCAUCUUUGUAUGCCAGAUGGUCUUUUUUGUUGUCCCAACUUCUCUAUAUUUGAAACUUCAUAACAGGUCUCUUUACUCCAUGAGCCUCGUCACUGCUCACUGAGCCGUUGCUUUCCUCCGCGAGCCUCGUCACCGCUCGCUGAGCCUUUCCUUUGACUGUUCUGUCGGUCUCUGUCUUCUUUGGCUGCUCUCUUGAGUUGCCUUUCCCCAUCUCAGUUUUGAGCACCCUUUAUCUGUUUCUCUCUUUGCUCUAUUUAGCUCUCUUUUAUUUAUGUUUAUCUCUUUUGUUUAUCUAUGCCCAAUGGCUGGUGUUUGUUGUGUUCUUUCCCCACGCCAUCUCUCCGUCUUUGUCACUCUAGCCUUUCCUGUUGGGUGUUUAUUAUUUAUUUUUCUAUCUCCUUCCCUUUUACCCUUAUGCUUAUUUCUUUCUACUUUUGGCCUCUUUCUAAUAUUCAUCCCUUUCUCUGUCUGUCUAUUUCCUCACAGACACCUUCCUUUGUCAUUAUUUUCCUUCAAUCAUAGCAUUAUCCUCUCUUUUUUUCGGUUCUAGCACCUCACUUUCUUCCACUAGUUUCUUUUUAAAAAUUGUCACAUGCAAUUUCCCAUGCUUUACUUUUUUAAUAUCUUUAGUUUCUUCCUCUUUGAUCUACCGAUGCAGUUUCCCCUGCUAUGUAGCCGAACUCUUUUCAGGUCCUCUCUAUUUCUCAUAUUUCUUUUACUAACCUUUUCCAUUUUGUUGUUCUUUCACUGCAUUAUCUCUCGCUUUCACAGUUCCCUUAUAUAAUUUUGGUUCCCUUUGAUGGGCACUCUAUCUAUUCCUAUUCCACACAUGAAGGGUUUCCUUGUUUCUGUGUCCUUUGCUCUAAUUCCCAUUUGAGCACCUUAUCUUUGUCUUUGUCUCUGUUCAUGAUUUGCUGGGUUUCCUUCCUUACUGUUCUUAUUUUCUGAAGUUUUUUUUUCAUGGGACAGCCGUAUGCUACCACCUUUCCCUCUUGCAUUUGUUUCUGCCACGAGACUGGCAUGUUUGAGUCUCUUUACUAUUAUUUAAUUUCUCUUCUUCCAAAUCUCGACCCUUUACCAGUGUCAGAUUUGAUGGGGGAGAUAGAUGCAACUUUAUUUGGGUGUUGCAACUUUAUUCGAUGUUGCUUUCUUCAAAUCUCAACUCUCAUACAUCAUCGGAUUUGAUGGGGAGUGACAUCGCUGCUCAUAUAUUCCGCUGCAAUUCAGCUACUUAUUUGCCAUGGCUGAUUCUUCUACAUCUGAGUGUCAGUCAGCUUCUGUUUCUUAAGUGCCACUUAUCUUAUGGUUUCGAUGACCCCUUCUCUUCAGGGGGAGAGGGGGAGUGAAGAUAAGUUGUCUGUGCAAUAAUGGAAGUAUUUGUCAUUGUUAUUGCUGCUGACUACUAUGUCCUUUGCUGGUGCCAGUACCGUUGCUCAUCCCUGUUAUGUCUCUUGCUGGGGACAAUGUUAUUGCUCCUACCUAUUAUGACUCUUGCUGGGGACAAUGUUAUUAAUCAUGCCUAUUAUGACUCUUACUGGGGAUAAUGUUGAUUACUCUUGAUGAUGCCUGUUAUGUCCCUGCGUUGUUGCUCUUGCUAGUGCCAGUGCCUUGUAUUGCUGUUGUUGGUACCAGUAUUGCUGCUUCUGCCUGUUAUGGUGCCAGUAUUGUUGCUCAUACCUUUGCUGGUGUGUUUCCGUUGUGGUCAAGCCCGUUGACCUUGCCUUUGCUCUUGACUUUCUUUGCCUUGCCUUACCCUAUUUUUUUAGGGUUUUUUUUUGCCUUACCUACCUCCGUGCUCACAGGGUUUCUGUGUUACAGGGGCUCACAGGGUUUCUGUGUUCUGCCUUACCUACUGUCGUACUCACAGGGUUUCUGUGUAAGGCAUUGUCGUGCUCACAGGGUUUCUGUGUUCUGUCUUACCUAUUGCCGUACUCACAUGGUUUCUGUGUUCUAUUAUGUGCCCUAUUUUUUAAUGUUUGCUCUUGUGUUUUCACUGCGAACUAUGCUUUAGUUUGUCACUUGUUUCACUCAUGGUUGACGAAAAGACCUUCCCUACAAUUGGUGCUUCUCAAAUAUGGUGUUCUGUGACUCGCUUGUCAAGUUGGGCGUGCGAAAUAUCUUUGCCCAACUUGAGGGGGAGUGUUGGCGAGUCCUUACUUAGUUAGGAUUUUGGUUCCUUAUUUCAUUAGAAUUUUGGUUACUUACUAAUUAUUAUUUAGUCCUAUUGUAAUAGAGAUCUACUUCCUAUUGUAAUUUAGAUAUAUUUCCUAUUUUAUUUAGGGUUAACACAUCUUUGUACUUGUAUAAAUACCUCCAUAUUGGAGAAGAAUAAUAAUAUGAGCGUAUCUUAGCAUAACUGAAUAUUUGCCCUACUUUAUUUUAACAUGGAAAUUGGGCAUCUACCCUUACCCAAUAUGUGGUGUUCACAUGUUGGGCUUAAAUGUUUACCCCUACCUUUUACCUAAUACGUGAUGCUCACAUGUUGGGCUUGAAUGAUUGACUCCGAUGUGGACUUGGCUCCACGUGUGGUCCACUAUGUGGUAGUCCCACGUGAGGGGGCAUGUUGAAGAAUAUGAGUCCCACAUCAGAAACUUGACUAAAUAAAAUAUAAAAUAUAAUGAAUAGUUCUACUACUAAUAACACCGAGGACUUUUGUGAUAAAAUCCCACACCUACUGGGCUUUGUAGGUGGUUAAGUUGGGGAUAAUAUCAGUAUUGUUAGUAGUGGGCCGCUGGCCCGUCUCUAUGAAUUUAACAUUGUAUUAGAGCGGGUUGAUUGAUUGGGCCUGAAUUGGGCCUCUAUCCUUACCCAAUAUGUGGUGUUCACAUGUUAGGCUCGAAUGUUUACCCCUACCCUUUACUCAAUGUGGUGCUCACAUGUUGGGCUUGAAUGAUUGACUCCGAUGUGGACUUGGCUCCACGUGUUGCCCACUAAGUGGUGGUCCCACUUGAGGGGGCGGGUUGAAGAAUAUGAGUCUCACAUCGGAAACUUGACUAAAUAAAAUGCAAAAUAUAAUAAAUAGUUCUACUAUUAAUAACACUGAGGACUUUUGUGAUAAAACCCCACACCUACUGGGCUUUGUAGGUGGUUAAGUUGGGGACAAUAUCGGUAUUGUUAAUAGUGGGCCGCUGGCCCGUCUCUCUGAAUUUAACAAUUACAGUACAGAUCAGCAAGUGCACAACUAGAUCACAGUGGGAAAAAAAAAAGCUUAGUAAUUCUUUUUUAUAAAAAGAAGCGAUAAAUUGUAUUUAUAAUUCAAGCUUAAAGGAAAAGUAGGAGCAAUUAAUAUGACAACUACGUUUAACAAUUUUUGGUGCAUUAUUUAGUUUAUUUAUUGUCCUGCCUCAAAUUAUUAGUAAUUGUUUUUUAUAAAAAAGAAGGGAUAGAUUAUAUUUAUAAUUCAAGCUUAAAGGACAAAUAGGAGCAAUUAAUAUGACAACUAUGUUUAACAAUUUUUGGUGCAUUAUUUAGUUCAUUUAUUGUCUGGCCUCAAAUUAUUUGUAAUUAUUUUUUUUAUAAAAAGAGGCGAUUAUCAUAUUUAUAAUUCAAGCUUAAAGGAAAAAUAUGAGCAAUUAAUACGACAACUACGUUUAACAAUUUUUGGUGCAUUAUUUAGUUCAUUUACUGUAUGGCUAGAGAGACUUUGGAAAGGGCCAAAGGAGAGAGAAAUUUUUUAAAAGAAGCCAAAAUGGACAAAAUUGCCGUUAUUUAUUUUUGAAUUUUUUAAGGAAUCCUUUACAUUUGCAUGUCUUUGGUUUGGGAGUUAAGAGAUUUUUCUAUCUUUUUUGAAAAAGCUCUGGCUUUUUCUAAAAGUGAAAGUUUUUUUGUUUUUUGUUUUUUUAUAAAAAGAAGCGAUAGAUUAUAUUUAUAAUUCAAGCUUAAAGGAAAAAUAGGAGCAAUUAAUAUGACAACUACAUUUAACAAUUUUUGGUGCAUUAUUUAGUUCAUUUAUUGUCUGGCCUCAAAUUAUUAGUAAUUGUUUUUUUUUAUAAAAAUAAGCGAUUAUCAUAUUUAUAAUUCAAGCUUAAAGGAAAAAUAGGAGCAAUUAAUAGGACAACUACGUUUAACAAUUUUUGGUGCAUUAUUUAGUUCAUUUACUGUCUGUUAGUAAUUUUUUUUAUAUAAAAAGAAGGGAUAGAUUAUAUUUAUAAUUCAAGCGUAAAGGAAAAAUAGGAGCAAUUAAUAUGACAACUACGUUUAACAAUUUUUGGUGCAUUAUUUAGUUCAUUUAUUGUCUGGCCUCAAAUUAUUAGUAAUUUUUUUAAUAUAAAAAGAAGCGAUAGACUAUAUUUAUAAUUCAAGCUUGAAGGAAAAAUAGGAGCAAUUAAUAUGACAACUACGUUUAACAAUUUUUGGUGCAUUGUUUAGUUCAUUUGAUUUUCUUGUGAACUGUGGAUGGAGAGCAGCCUUCAUGGAGGUACCUGAAAACAGUUCACAAAGAGUUGAUUUCAAUGACCGCAAGAAACCCUGGUAAAUCAAAAUCGUUGAUUUGCUCGAUUCAGAUGACUAAACAUAUUGGCUAAUGAGGUUGAUAGAAAAAUGUAUGAGCAGAGUAGGAUUUAUAGUCACUUACUCAACAGCCCGGGCAGUGCCUAAAGCAAUUCUGACUCUUGUGUUCCAAGUUAGGGGAUUACUGUAGUCAUCUGACAUGUGUAAGAAUUCAUGAAGCGAGCCAUUACUGAAGUACUCGUAAAUUAACAUGUUAUGCCCGUGUUCUGAACAAUAACCAACAAGUUCGGUGAUGUUGGCAUUGCGAAUCUUGGAGAUAUUUACAACAAUGUCAGAAAAUUCUUGUGUCGCUGAGCCUUGAAACAGUGAGGAGUCAAUCUUUUUCACAGCCACAACCUGACAUGCAUAUAUGAGGGGCGGAUCCACCAUGGGGUCAAUGGGGUCAAACGACCCCAUGGCAGAUCUGGAGUUUAGUGGUAGGGACUGGUUUUUGCCCUUGGCAGCCAUGGAAGUGACCCCAUGGAGAAGAAGAAGAAGCUUCGGUGGUGGCAGCUGGAGCAAGAAGAAAGAGAGAGAGGGAAGAGAGAUGGAGCAGACGGAGGACAGAGAAGAAAGAAAAGAAGAAGAGAGGAAGAAGGAAAAAGAAUAAAAACAGAGAGGGGAAAAAGGAAGAAGGAAAAAGAAAAAAGAGAGGGAGACGGGAGACGGGAGGAGGGAGAGAGAGAGAGAAAGAGGAAAAAAGAAUAAAAAAGAGAGGGAGUUAUUAAAAAGAGAGAGAGGGGAAAAUAUAAUAAAAAACAGAGAGGGGAAAUAUAAUAAAUAUUUUUUUUUUUUUUUUUUUGUUUCCUUUCAAACCCUUUUAAAUAUUUCAACAAUAUUAAUAAUAAUUCCAUCAUUUUUUCUAUUUCAAAUGUCGUAUAAUAACAAAAAGUUCUAAAUAUGAUGAAAAAAAUAUAUUGAAAAAAGAUUGCUUAUAUAAAAUAAAAAUAUAACAACAAGGGCUUAUAAUUUAUCCACACAAAAAAAAAAAAAAAAAAAAAAAAGCCACUCCUGUGGGUCACCUCUAGUUUUCAGUUUGUACAAUCUAUUGUUCAAGCCUAAAAAUAUACAAAAACAACCAAAAUCCACAAAAACUCACCAAAUUUUCUUAAUACAUUUGUACUUAAGGUAAAUUUAGCCCGCCCGAUUUGCAAUUCCUGGAUCCGUCCCUGUCCACCACCAAUAUCUCAUCCCUUGACAUCGCCGCCAAGGGUGCUAGCUGCCGUUCACCAACAGUCGUCUCCGUCGCCGUCACUAUUUUUGUGACCCCACGAGUGGCAAUUCCUGCAUCCGCGGCAUAAGAACUGUGAGUAAAAAUCGAGAGGCACCUCUUAAUAAUAAGAUAGGACUAUCUCUAACAGUUGAUAAAGAUAUCCACAUCAGUAAUUCCAAAUGAAUUUUUAUGCUAGGACUUACGUUUAAACACAAAUUAUAAAAUGAACCAGUAGAAGAUUUGGUGGUAAUUAAGUAGCAACUAUAGAGUAAUCGAAAACUAUACCUUCCCAUCAUCAUAUUUAGCCCUAUAGACACGUCCAAUGGAACCCUGACCAAGAAGGCGAGCGGGUGCAAAGUUAGCAGUAGCAACCUGCAAAUCUGCCAAAGCGUAAUUCGUAGCUUUUACAGAGGUGCUUCUUUUGGCAAAGGAAACGUCCAGAAAGCAACUUAAAACCAUUUGAUGUAGAUUUUGAAACAGGAUUUAUGUCAAUUGAAACGGCUCAAGGAUCUGUCACCGGCAUAUCAUCUAGUUAGUAGAAAGUUAAUAAACAUUUGUAAAGUGACAGAUAUUAAAAACCCAGUUGAUACAUUAUUUUGACUGCAUGACCAAUGGGGCAGGAACCUAGACUUGGGAGGCAAGAAAUAAUAUCAGGUGGAAAGCUCUCACAUACACAUUUAGUUACAUUGCAAGCAGAUUUACAGUAGUUCAAUUCUAUUCUAUGUUAAGAGUGUUGCAGAAUUUCAUUAGAACAGCUUAAAAUACAAAUAAAUUUGCAAAGAAAAUGUCAUUAAUAGGCCAUCUCUUUUCUAAAUUUUUUAAAAAAAACUGGCAUCUCUAUUUUUUCUUUUUAAUAGUUAUGUCAUCUUCAUUUUGUAGUGUUAAAUAGAUGAGUAACAUAUCUUUUUAUAUAUUCCUUUUAAAAAUAAUUCAAGUUCAAAAAGUUUACACCUCAGUGUCUCAAAGCUUAUGCCUCAUUUUAAGGGACCAAAAACGCCUACCCUCCUCCAUACCUCAUCUUUUGAAAUAUUGUCACUUUAGACUGAAGAAAUUCCAAACAUAGCAAAACAAAUUAAAAGCAAGUUGAUGAGAUCUCUUUAGAUAUUUGAGAAUAGGAGAUAUUCUCUCCCACUUUAGAUAUUAAAAGCGAGUUCAUCGAAGAUUUAUUUGUAAUUUUAUUCUUUCUAUAAAUUAUGAAUGAUAUUAGUAUUGUUUAAAUUCAAGGGUAUUUGAUAUUGUCUAAAUAAUUUUAUGGAGCUUUUAGACUUUUAAAUUUGCCCCUUCCCUAAAAACUUUUUGGAUCCACCACUACCACCAAGAAUUUCCUCCAGACCUUCAAUUAGAUAAUAAAUAAAGUCAUAAGCAAAUCAUUAAGAGCUGUUGGCGUGACUUGUGGAUAUUGACUUACUUUCCUUACACACCAAGAAUUCCUAUUAUAAUUGUAAUUGAUUUACUUUAAUUCCUGAUUUCCUACUACAAAUAGAUUUAGGAAUUUAUUAUUUACUUGCCCAUUCAGGUUUCGUUGUAUUAUAAAUAUGACCUCCUACAAGGAGAAGAAUAUACAGAAAAUUCCCACAAAUAAAUAUUCUCUCAUAGUUUUCAUAUUUUAGCAUGGUAUCAGAGCGGCGAUCUUGGAAUUGCUGACUCUAGUUUCAAACCCCCGCUGCUGCUAUGGGGGUUGAUGAUUUUUUCAACCCUCAUGGAGGUAGCACCACCGACUCCUUCUCUCAUUCUCCACCAACUAUCGUUGAGUUGAGUGCCCAGAUGGCUCCGCUCCUACAGAUGCAGACUUUGACCCUGAAUCCGAUCCAGACUCAGGAUCCUCUUUUGACGACCCCGACCCCGACCCCGACUCCGAAGACGACCCCGACCCCUACUCCGAUGAUGACCACAACCCCGAAUUUGUCUCUGAUUCGGACCCUGAUCCCGAUUUUGACUCCGACUCUGGCCCCGACUCAGGCUCAGAUUCCGAUCCCAAUUCCUACUCAACCUGUAUCCUAUGCAUCUUCCGCUGCACAGAUUAUGACUACUAGACUAACGACCCCGACACAUGGACUAGAUUGCGCAUAUUGUGGUGAUCCGAGACACACUUGUGAGACUUGUUUUAAAUCGCAUGGCUACCCCAAUUGGUGGGCUACUCUUAUAGAUCGAGGACAAUGCAAUAUGACCAGUAAUGGUACUGGUUAUGGAUUCCAUACUUCCGAUAAGAUUGAUUCCAGGAGCUGGAUAAUUGAUUCCGGUGCAACUGAUCAUAUGACGUUUGAUCCUGAUGAUUUUCUGAAUACUACACAACCUCGACGAACCUGUAUUGCAAAUGCCAAUGGUGUUACUUAUCCUGUGACAGGGGCUGGCACUGUUGCACUCUCAUCCUCUCUUACACUGUCUAAUACUUUACUUGUUCUAUCUUUAUCCACUAAAUUGUUGUCAGUUAGUCAGCUUACUGAACAAUUGAAUUGUUGUGUACUCAUUUACCCGAGUUUUUGUUUGCUUCAGGAUAUUCACACUAAGGAGAUUCUUGGUCGUGGUACUAAGAGAGGGGGGUUAUAUUAUCUCGAUGACUUUAGUCCCGGCAUGGCUAACAGCGUGACACAUCCCUUUGAUAGCAAACAAAAGCAAAUCUGGUUGUGGCACCGUCGAUUGGGACAUCCGUCUUUUAGUUAUAUGAAGCAUCUUAUACCAGAUUUAUUCUCAGGUUUCAAGGACUCUGACUUCACAUGUGAUACUUGUAUUUUGGCCAAGAGUCACCGUGUGCCCUACCCGUUGAGUACGAACAAGUGUAUUACUCCAUUUACGUUAAUUCACUCUGAUGUCUGGGGACCUUCUCCUAUCACUGCUCCUUCUGGUGUUCGAUGGUUUGUCACAUUCAUCGAUGAUUGUACACGGAUGACAUGGCUUUAUUUGCUGAAGAAUAAAAACGAAGUGUUUUCCUGUUUUCAGUCCUUCCACAAACAGAUGAAAACUCAAUUUAAUGCUCAAAUCCAGAUUCUUCGCUCAGACAAUGGUGGAGAAUUUGUCAAUCAUGACUUUCAGACUUACUUCCAACAACAUGGAAUUAUCCAUGAGACGACUUGUCCUCAGACACCACAACAAAAUGGUGUUGCUGAACGAAAGAAUCGACAUCUUCUUGAAACCGCCCGAGCACUUCUGAUUGGCGCUCAUGUUCCUCGCCAUCACUGGGAUGAUGCUAUUGUCACCGCAGUUCAUCUGAUCAACCGCAUGCCUUCUGGUGUACUGACUUUUAAAACUCCCUUGCAGACGCUUGCACAACACAGACCUCUGCCUUCUGUUUUGGUACUCACACCCCGAAUCUUUGGAUGUGUGGCUUUCGUUCAUCUCCACAAAAGUCAACGUAGCAAACUUGAUCCAUGUGCGCUUCGUUGUGUUUUUAUGGGUUAUGCCACUCAUCAGAAAGGCUACCGCUGUUAUCACCCUCCUACCCAACGAACCUAUGUCACUUUGGAUGUGACCUUUCUGGAAUCUGAGCUGUUCUUCCAUGACCCAUCAUCCAAUUCUACACUUCAGGGGGAGAUACGAAGUGAAGAGCAGAAUUGGAGCAACUUGGAAAAUAAAGAAAUUCUCCUUUAUACAGAAAUGAUUGAUCAUUCCGAGUCUGGAGCACGAGAUUACUCUCUGUCAAAAAGCGACCAAUUGCCCAUUCAUAGCGAUCAAUUGCCUGACCCACCUGAUCCAUGCGAAGAUAUUUCUGAUCCGAGUCUCACACCUACAGACAAUACAGAACAACAAGAUGAAGACCCCCCCUCUAACUCAACAGUACCAACAGACCAACCUCCUGAGAAUAUCCUUGAGGUAACUACUCCUACUAGACUUGUGCAUUUAGAUGAUAAAACUAUUGGAUAUCAAUUACCUUUCAGGCAAAAUCGUGGGAAGCCACCAAACCGUUAUUCACCUGAUAUUGGCAAGACAUCCAAGUAUCCAAUUGCAAAUCAUGUAUCCACUGAGAAGCUGUCUGAACCACUCAAGGCUUUUGUGCAUCAGUUCUCUGCUAUCCAUAUUCCAACCAAGGUCUCUGAAGCAUUGAAAGAUCCUAAGUGGGUCCAAGCUAUAAAAGAGGAGAUGAAAGCCCUUGAGAAAAAUCAGACUUGGACAUUGGAGACUAUACCCCGAGAAAAAAAGACUAUCGGAUGUAGAUGGGUGUUUACUAUAAAACACAAUGCAGAUGGAUCUAUCGAGCGAUACAAGGCAAGACUUGUGGCAAAAGGGUACACACAGACCUAUGGUAUAGACUAUGAAGAAACUUUUGCUCCAGUUGCAAAGUUAAACACCGUCAGAGUCUUAUUAUCCCUUGCAGCUAAUUUGGAUUGGCCACUACACCAGUUUGAUGUAAAGAAUGCUUUUCUACAUGGCGAACUCAUGGAGGAGGUGUACAUGGACAUUCCUCCUGGAUAUAAUACCACUCAGACUGGAACAGUUUGUAGGUUACGAAAAGCAUUGUAUGGAUUGAAACAGUCACCACGUGCAUGGUUUGGACGGUUCACCAUGGCAAUGAAGAACAAUGGUUUCAAACAGUGCAACUCAGAUCAUACUCUGUUCUUGAAACAUCGAAAAGGGAAGGUAACAGCAUUAAUAAUCUAUGUUGAUGAUAUGAUUAUUACUGGGAAUGAUAAACAGGAAAUAUCACAGCUACAAGACUAUCUGGCUACGGAGUUUGAGAUGAAGGAUCUAGGUGGACUCAAGUAUUUCUUGGGAAUUGAGGUGGCUCGAUCGCAGCAGGGCAUAUUUCUCUCUCAAAGGAAAUAUGUCUUAGACUUGUUGACAGACACAGGAAUGCUAGAUUGUAAACCUGCGGACACUCCUAUUGUUCAGAAUCAUCAUCUUGGAGAAUAUCCGGAUCAAGUUCCAACUAACAAAGAAAGAUACCAAAGGUUAGUGGGAAGAUUGAUCUAUUUGUCACAUACUCGACCAGACAUUGCUUAUGCGGUGAGCGUUGUCAGUCAAUUUAUGCACUCUCCAAGUGAAGACCAUAUGAAUGCAGUUCUUCGGAUACUUAGAUAUUUGAAGUCUGCACCUGGAAAAGGACUUAUGUUCUCAAAGCAUGGUCAUCUAAAUAUUGAUGGUUAUUCAGAUGCAGAUUGGGCAGGUAAUGUAACAGACAGAAAAUCCACAUCGGGUUACUUCACAUUCGUGGGAGGUAAUUUGGUGACAUGGAGAAGCAAGAAACAGAAUGUAGUAGCUUUAUCCAGUGCAGAAGCCGAGUUCAGAGGCAUGACUAAAGGGAUUUGUGAACUUCUUUGGUUAAGAAAAUUGCUUACUGAACUUGGGUAUAAACCUACAUCCACAAUGAAUCUCUUUUGUGACAACAAGGCUGCUAUAGCCAUUGCACAGAAUCCGGUUCAGCAUGAUCGUACUAAACAUGUUGAGGUGGAUCGACACUUCAUCAAACAAAAGCUUGAGGCUAAAGUGUUUCAGUUUCCUUUUGUGAAAUCCGAGUAUCAAUUGGCGGAUAUUUUGACAAAGGCGAUUUCCAGUAAAGCAUUCCACAAUUCACUAGAUCAGUUGGGCAUUGGCGACAUCUAUGCACCAACGUGAGGGGGAGUGUUGGCGUGACUUGUGGAUAUUGACUUACUUUCCUUACACACCAAGAAUUCCUAUUAUAAUUGUAAUUGAUUUACUUUAAUUCCUGAUUUCCUACUACAAAUAGAUUUAGGAAUUUAUUAUUUACUUGCCCAUUCAGGUUUCGUUGUAUUAUAAAUAUGACCUCCUACAAGGAGAAGAAUAUACAGAAAAUUCCCACAAAUAAAUAUUCUCUCAUAGUUUUCAUAUUUUAGCAAGAGCUUCAUCCUUGACAUUGAUCUUUGAAAAGGAUACUCACUUUAUGUUUAUACCCUUCAACUCAUUAGGGAUCAAAAUCGUUCAUUUAUAGAACAAAAUCUAGCUCAAGUAUACUUACAAGUCAACAGGAGUGUAUACAAGUAGAGUGAUUUGACUAGUAAAUUGAUUGUUCUGCAGAUUCCUGCAUGGAGACAUAGAGGACUUAGCAACCAGGAACCUCGGACACACAUGCAGUGUAAAGAAUGUAUUUCCUUGUAUUAAACUGAUUACACAAAGUCCCUAUUUAUACUAAUACAGGAUAUCUACUUAAGGUAGGAAAUAAUAUAGACAUGAAUACAAUCCGAUUUACAGCAGGAAAGGCUAAUUGCUAGGAAGAGAUUGUGAAAUUGACUUCCGUGUGUGCUAGGAAAGGAAAGCUGCAUUAACACCCGCCCACAAAUUGGGCGUCACAGGAUGCACAAGUUUGGAAGACAUAUGCUGAUGGCGUGGUUUAUGAAGGGCUUUGGUGAACAGGUCCGCAGGUUGGUUGACAGAAGGAACAAAGCAAACUUGAUGACUUCCAGGAGCAACCUUUUCACUGAAAAAGUGAUAAUCCAACUCAAUGUGACGUGUGCGGGCAUGGAAAACUGGAUUGGCAGCCAUGUACGUAGUGCUAAGAUUGUCACAAAAGAGUUGGACCGGGAAUCAAAUAUGAACACCCAAUUCAUGAAGAAGGGAGCAGAGCCAAGUGGUUUCAGCAAAGCAUGAUAGAGGGCAUGAUAUUCCGAUUCUGUACUAGAGCGCGAGACUGUGGGCUAUUUCUUGGAAUACCAUGAGAUGAGGUUAGCGCCAAGAGUAAUCACAUAUCUACUGGUCGACCGACGAGAAUCAGGACACCCAGCCCAGUUCGCAUCAAAGUAGGCAGAGAGCCGAGCUGUGGCAGUUUGAGAAGUGAGCGUGAGGCCGAGAUCAAUAGUGCCCUUGAUGUACCUAAGUAUCCGUUUGGCGGCAACAAGGUGAGAGGUGCGAGGGGCACUUAUGAACUGAGCAACAGUGUUGACGACAAAAGAUAUGUCAAGGUGAGUAAGAGUGAGAUACUGUAAACUGCCAACAAGCUCUCGGUACUCGAUUGGGUUGGAGAUAAGAGCACCAUCAGAGACAGAUAGGAGAACCUUGGCAGCUAAUGGAGUAGAUGCAGGUUUGGAGUUGAGAAGAUUGGCUUUCUAUAAAAGAUCAUAUUCAUAUUUGAGUUGAUUGAUGUGGAGAGUACCAUCCUUAUGAAGAACCUGUAAACCCAAGAAAUAGUUGAGUGGACCAAGGUCUUUGAUGUCAAAAUGGCCACCUAAAAGAGAAAUGAAUUGUUGGAGACGAGUGGAAUCACUGCCAGUUAUCAUGAUGUCGUCGACAUAUAGAAGAAGAAAGAUGGUAUAGGAAGCCUGUUGAAAAAUAAAUAAUGAAGAGUCAGCUUGGCUCCUUGUAAAGCCCAUAGAGAGAAGGAAAGUACUGAUGCAAUGGAACCAAGCACGAGGUGGUUAUUUGAGGCCAUAGAAUACUUUGUGGAGCUUGCAACAUAAGAAGGAUGAGUGGUAUCAAUGAAACCAGGGGGUUGAGCCGUGUAGACAUCUUCUUGAAGAAACCCACGGAGAAAUACAUUUUUGACAUCAAGUUGACGCAGGGACCAAUCAUGAGAAACUGCAAGACUGAGAACAGUGUGAAUGGUGGCAGGCUUGACAAUAGGACUGAAGGUUUCAUCAUAGUCUAUGCCCAGAUGUUGAUGAAAACCCUUGACAACUAGACGAGCUUUGUAGCAUUCAAUGUAGCCGUCGGAGUGACACUGAAUCCGAAAAACCCACUUGCACCCAAUCAAGUUCUGAGAAUGAGAGGAAGGAACCAAAGACCAUGUAUGAUUUUUGAGGAGUGCAUUGAUCUUUUCAGUCAUGGCGUCACGCCAUUCAGAAUACUUAGUGGCCUCUGAAAAACAAGUAGGUUCAGUAUGAUCAAAAACAGUUAAUAAGGCACGAGGAAUAUGGUAUUUAACAAUGUCGUCUGUAUGAAGCUUGGGUUUUUGAAUGCCAUCCUAAAGGCGCGUACGCAUGCGAGGAACAGGGGCAGGAGUGGGAGAUUGCAAAGCUGAUGGAACUGGGGGGUUCGGAGCUACUAGAACAGAGGCAGACGCAAGCAGAGAGAGGUGUAUGCGAGGGCGUCGGGAAUAAAUUUGUAGCAAUGGCUAGGCUGAAGCGAAAGAAGUGUCGUUGAGUGGACUAGGGGGUGUGGGGUCAUUGCUUGUGACUGCAGCAGCUGGAAAGGUGCAUACCAAGGAGGUGUCGUAAGCUUGAGUGUCUGAGUCUGGAGCAGGAGUUAUCGAUUAGGGCCCAGGUGCGGAGGAGGACAGAAUUGGAUGGAAUUUAGUAUCCACAUACUCUGAAGAAGAUGAUACCUGUAAAUGCUCAAAUGGAAAAUGCAUUUCGUUAAAUAAAACAUGACGGGACGUGUAAACACAACCCAUGGAGGGAUGUAAACAACGGUAACCUUUGUGGUGAGAACUGUAUCCAAGGAAAACACAUUCAAAGGUGCGGUUAGUGAGUUUAUUUUCAGUAUAUGGUUUAAGGUAAGGGAAACAAGAACCCCCCAACACUCAAAGAUGAGAGUAGGAGGGAGGAUGUUGGAAGAGAUGAUUGUAUGGGUGUCCCAUUGAAGAUUAUGAGUAGGUAGGAGGUUGAUAAAAUGGAAAGUAGUGAGGGCAGCUUCGACCCAGAGAUUGUGGGGAGUGUGAGAAGUGGUAAGAAGGGUAUGAAUCAUGGUGACAAUGUGUCUAUGUCUAUUUGGGUAACUCUGUUUAAAGAUAUGUUCGUUCUUUUACUACAGAGUUUUAACUCAAAUUCGUUCUUAUACGGUUUAUUGGACUGGGGAUUUGAAUUUGAUAAUUUUUGUUUUGGUAGGGGAAAUAAAAUUUGGGAGUGUGAUUCUAGGAACUGAUUGCAAUGUUUUAGCAUAGUUGACUUGAAGAAGAAGGGUUUGGGAAAUAUGUGAUAUGGUUCUCCUAUUCCUGACUCCGAUCUUCUUGCUAUCAUUAUGAAUAAUGUUGGGCCCUUAUAUGAGUCUAUUGUUGUGUUUGCUCAAGCCCGUGAAACCCCUAUUACAUAUGCCGAUGUUGAGGCUCUCUUACUCCUUGCUGAACAACGCCAUCUGGAAGUUCAUGCUUCUGCAUGUGAUGGUUGUGUUGAAGUUGGCUCACCUAAAGUUGUGGAAGGAGUGAAGGAAAUAGACGGUCAAAAGAGCUAUAGUCGUUUUGACUGGGCUCUGCCGCCCGAGUGGCAAAAUGGUGGUUUCUUGCCUAGGCACUGGCGCUCGAGCGAAACCUGCUCGCUCUCGAGCGACAAAGCGAGAAUUCAUGAUUUCCGCUCUAGCUGAAGGCGCGAAUCCAACAUGGAUCCUUGGUGAAUGGGGAUAGAUUGACACUCUAUGACAUAUAAAUAGGCACUUUAACGCUAGGUUAUUAUAACGUGAGAAAACUAAGGCAUCAAAUUGGAUUUGAGCCAAGAGUGAGAGAAAAGAGAGCUAGGGUUUGUGAGAGAGCAAAUGGGGUUCUUCAUUGUAACCAAAUGGGUUCUUUCAUAUUAGUGAAUUUCUCAGGGAUCACCAAGAGGACAUAAGCACAAUGUUGAAUCUCUUUAAAUUCUUGUGUUCUUUGUUUGCUUCUUUACUUUUCGGUUUGUGUGUGCUUUAUCUUUGCAUGGCUUAUGUCUGAUAGUUCUAUAGUCCAUCAACAACAAAGUCUUGGAGUGUUUUUCACAACAUAUUGUCCCACAAAAUCCAAAUGCCACUAGAGUAACAAUUGGCAUCCACAACCAAGGAAAAUCAGUCUUGACAACAAAUGCCACCAAAGUCCAAUACACCAUUCUUGACAUCAACAAGGAUCUUCUGCAUCAAAGCAGUUGUCCAAAUAAACAAGGGUUUGUGGCCCCGAAGUAGAGUCAUUAGCAGGGUUAAAGGCCCUUCAAUUGACUGGUGCAUUUCUGGAAGGUUACCAAGGGUUGUGGACUUUCUUGCUUCUUUUCAAUUGAUCAUUUUAAGAACAUCUCACACGUCUUUUCGCUCGUUAAUGUUGUAAUUGUAGCCAUCGACUAAGAAAAGCAUAAUUUAGUGUACGAAACAAAUAUAUUUUUCUUUAAUUAAAAUUGAAUUGUAUAGGUCAUCUAACUUUCUCAUUGAUUUAUUGACACAUUGUGUAUACACAGAUAUUCUCACUAGGCAUCAAGCUGAGACUCAUAAAAAGGAAUUCCAACAAUUGGCUUUUAUAUAUAUGUUGCAUCCUUUAAGUUGGAUGAGCUGCACAAUACAACAUUUAGGCUUGGGAAGGCAAUGAGACCCACUUGCGGUACUCUGCAAGAGCCCACAGAGGGUAGAUAUUUCUGUAAGCUGCAUAAUGUAGCAUGCAGUUCUUCAUGAACACUCCCGUAAUUUCCUGCCAUAGUUCAGUGAUUAAUGGUUAGAAAAAUUUACAAGUAAAAAUUAAGCAGAUUGUAAUGCAAGUCAUGUUAUGCUAAGAAAGAUACCUGUUGGGGAAAAUCCCCAUUUUCCAUUUGAGAAUUGAUAAUCAACUUCGCCGCACGAUGAAGAGGUGCAGGGUCUCUGUCUGCCUGUCCAGCAUGAAUCAGACCCAUCAUAGCCCAUCCAGUGUGUACUAAAUUUGAUCGGUUUCCUUCGAGCGGAACGUACUCCUGUAUCACCCACCACGGGACAAAUAUUUUAAUGUAAGACAAUGGGAUUGUUUAAGAAACUUGAAGCUUAAAAAUAUGUUCACCUCCCUCAUUUUACCUUUUUGGGACAUGAAAGGUAGCUCUCUCCCCAACCACCGUUCUCUCUCUGUGUUUUGAGUAGAAAGUUAACCCCUUUGCGCAUGGCUAAACAAUUAAUGAAAGUCUUGCCGGCAGCUGCUAACCCUCCAAGGGCAAACCAGGAACCAUAUGUGAAGCAAACUCCCCAAUUUCCAUACCUGUGCAAAAUGUUCCUCAACUAAGUUCUUUUCCAUAUAUAUAUUUACAUAUCUGAUUAUCUAAACAUACCAUGAACCAUCUGGCAUUUGUAUACUUUCAAGGUACUGCGUAGCAUUGGUAAUGAAAUGAUCAAUCUCUUUCUUUCUGUGCCCAGGAUACAACUUCUUAAACAGAACCAAAGCCUGAAUUGCAGAUGAAGUGCAUUCAACAUAUUCAUGCUCAACCACAAUGUCCGCGAAGAAUUCAGUGGGAUUUAACAUCUAGAGGAAACAAAAAGGAGAGGGAGAAUAUAGAGUAAGUAUCUGCUAGAAUAUAGAGUAAGUAUCUGCUAAUGGAUAUUUCAAACAUUAACUUCAUACUUCUAACCAAUCUGACUCCAAUUUGUAAAAAUGCUUACUUCUAACCAAUCUGCAGCUCCUGCUGGUUCCCAGGCUGCCAAACCACCAUUUUUACUCUGCAAUGAGUUGUAAAAUAAAGCAUUUUUAUUCAUGAGUUGAGUACAGAAACAUAGAAGACCCAAUUUGCUUACUGCAGGGAAACCACAUGCUACUCAAACUCAUAUUUAUGACUUAAGAUGCAAGAUAAGAGUACUUGAAGACACAUUAGCUGUUACCUGAAGGGAAAGUAGGACAUUGAUAGAAUCAUAUAAUCGCUCAGGUUCCAUUUUUUCACCAACUAUAUCUGGUCGCAUCAUCGAGAACAGCAGGCAACACUGUAGAGGGGGCUAUUGUGAGAAACCUGGAGAUAAUUAACCAACAGGGUGGAUAUCUCAAUUGAAGCGCUCAUUACCUUUAAACCCUCUGCAGUGCAAUCAGAAACUUGCCAUCCAUGGUCUUGAUCAGAGAAAGUCCAUGAUCCCUUGGAAAUAUGGCGGUACAUGCUUUUGAAGUCACCAGAUGGAUUGUCCUUGACCUGUACAGUUUGAAUACAAAGGAUUCAUUAGUCUGAACAAAUGAAUGGUUACACAUUUACAUUAAAAAAUGAUAAUUUAGUUGACUCUAGUUAAAAUUGAACCUGAGAUUUCUUGAUGAAGUCAUGUCCUCUAGCCAGCGUAGGUCCAAUUUCAUCAGUGAGAUUGCUAGCAAGCAAAGCUUGAAUUGCAAACCCAGUAUCCCACUCUUGACUACCAAAACUCUUCAUAUAUCAAUCAAACAAUAAACAUGUCAACUUCUAGGUGAGUUACUCCUUAAAAUUAAAAGCAUUUGUGAAUAUACAAAAAAAUAAAGAAGUUUACAACAUUCCAUAAAUAAUUUGGGAUGCUAUAUAUACCAACCUGCAUCUUCAUCCCAUCUUCAGCAACCCAUAAAUAAUCUGGGAUCCUAGCAAGAUGCUUCUUAAAAUAGUCUCCAUUUGGAUCUUCAGCCCAACAAGCAAGCAUACAUAAAACCUGUUCAAGUAAUGCAAAUAACAUGAUGAGAAUCUGAAAAGUUAAUAUUUUUCUCUAGUCUCCUAUAAGGUACAUCAGUAUCCUUAUCCACAUUACCUUUUCCACACAUCCAAUGGUAAUAUAUCUGCUGUUUUCAUCUUCGUAAUGAAUAUGCUUCAUUGUUACUUGAAGAGCUUUUUCUCUGACCAACUUGUUAAACGGCCAGCGAGUAAGAAGAGGCUCUGUACAUAUGUAGAGACUAUCCCACAUGAUGUCCUGUAUCCAAGGGUGAGGGUAGUAGAUAUCCUCCUGCAAUUAAAUUACUGUAAUCAGGUUCUGUACUUAAACAAGAAUCAUAAACUGAUUAAUUCAUUUAACUAAGUUUAACUCACUUUUGCGCAGUGAUGGCGAACUCCCUUCCAAUUAAUUUCAUUGUAAGGUUGAGCAUAAAGUUCUUCCCUUAACUGCAGAAUCAGAGGUGUGAUUGGGCCAACAAACCUUUUCCCAUAUAAAUAUGACAUAGGCAUGUAAACCAUCCUACAAUAGCACCACAUUUUUGCUGCAUUUCCAAGAUAAAAGAGGUUAAAAAUGAAGACUACAAGUAAAAACUAAAUCAAUCAACAUGGGGAAGGUGGAAAUACUUGGAUUAAUUGUGCUAACCUGGAUGCAUAGGAAGAAAUGAAGGCAGAACCCAAAACUCUGGGGGCAUUGGGUUGCUUCCAGACCACUCAAAGACACCAAGUAUCUGCAACAAGUUAAGCAACAUUAAUUCAUCUUCAUAUACGGUUAAGCACAACAAUUGAAGCCUAAUAAUUCAAUUAGUGUUCAUAACUUUUUUUCAUGCGUACCGAAAGCCAAGUCUUUCCCCAAGAGGGCAUGUGUGUGACACUACCAUGAUCAAGAAUCCAUUUCCUUACUCUGGCACAAGCAUUGUCCUGGCCUCCAUCAGGUCCUUCUCCGAGAAUACGCAUACAAAUGUAGCUCAGGGCUGUGCAGAACAUGGUGCUGUGUCCUUCAAUAUGUAAUCCCCAACCACCAUCUUGAUUCUGAAAAUACAUUACCAUUCUUUAUAUACUAGUUUAACACAAAAUAUGCACAAUGAGUGGAAAUUAAAUUUAAAAAUUGAUCCCAUUUGUAUGAACCAAGUAAAUAAGUAUGUACCUGAUGGUAGUAUAUGUAACGCAGAAUUUCUUUGCGAUGCUCUGCUGGGAAUACAGUAUUAAGAUGCCCUGUAAUGUAUGUACACAUGACCUGCAAAAAAAAAUUGGAAUUAAAAAGGGAAAAUUAGUAAAAAGCUCCAAAACAUUCAUAUUUUAGUAAAAAAUCUAACUAAAGCUCUAAAAAUAACUGUAAUUAUAAGGAAAUUAGAAAUUUUAUACUCACCAAAGGAGGAAGGAAAAACAAUGGGCCAGCAUUUUCAGCAGGCCAAUGGCCAUCACUUGCCUGCAAGGCUGAAAAGAAGUGAACAGAUCUUCUCAGUGAGGCUGUGGCCUUUUCAUAUGUGAUUUCCUCGCCAUCCUCAACCUUUACUGGGGGAAUUGUCUGCUUGAAGUUAUUCUCUUUUAGGAACUGCAGUGUAGUGAACAGAGUAUUAAGAGUGGAAUUAGAGAAAAAAGUAAAUAAAAUUCAUGAUGCUGAUUAUAAAAUUCUAAUUUGGUAUUAGUCCACAAAUAUAUCAGUGAUAUUUAAGAAAGGGGGAAUUGAACCUAGGACCUUGGAUGGAACUACAAGAUUUGAAUACUAGGGAGAUGUUGACACUCCCAAAAAUUUAUUAUUAUGUAAUCAUUCCUUUGUUUUUAUUUUUCUCUUAUUACCACUUUCCUCAUAUCAAAUGGUUUUACCCAUCAAAAGAAAGGAAAUGAAAACUUAUAUAAGUGCUAAAAACAAGACAGAGAUUGGCCCACUACUAGCAACAUCGAUAUUGUCCCCAACUUAACCACCUAUUUAGCAUGUGUGAGAUUUUAUACAAAAGGUCUCGAUGUUAUUAGGAGUAGAACCAUUUAUUAGAUUGGACUUUCUAUUUUGUUAAGUUUCCGAUGUGGGACUCGUGUAUUUUUCAACAAUUACUAGUCUACUAAUAUUCCUUUUUGCAUUUUAUUUGAAGAGGUUCUAAGUUUGAAUUCCCGUCUUUAUAUUAUUAAAAUAAAUUUAAAAAACCAAGACAAACAGAUCAAAAUUAAAAAGGUUUAACGCUAUUCACACUCUUGUUGUCUCUUGUCUAACCUGUUGACGUGAAGGAUAGUGUUGGGAUGGAUGUUAGAGUCUCUUAUGGUGGAUUCAUGGAACACGAGCAUCAUGCAAACCUCUUAUGAAAAUUUAAAUUUUUAUAUCCCCACACACACGCCACUAUCAGCUUCAACAAUUCCUUGGUUUAGGUCAAUUCUCCGCCAUCAUCUUUAUUUAUUUAUUUAUUUUUCUGAUAAACCCUCAUAAUCAUCAGUUUGUCUAUCUGCUCAAAACUUCUUAAAAUAGCAACCGAUCAACAUUUACUUUUACUGACCAAUUUUCUAAUACAACUCACGUUUAUAUGUUGAUUGUAAAGGCGGUCAGUAAGAUAAUCACAAAAAAAUAUAACCCAAAAAUAAGAUAAACAAUAUCGUUUGAAAUCAGACUUUGAAUUUAAAUCAUUAGUCAAACUAAUUUUUAUAUGCAUGUGUGAUCUAAAAUUACAGUUUGACAACGUAAAAUUCUAAGAAAACAACACUAUAAGUUAAUGAAAUUAAGUGGAUAAACACCUGCAUACGCCACAGGAGGUCACCGCUAGGCUUGACCUGAUGGCGAUUAUUGUAGAAAUUAAGACGAGCUUCUUCCACCUCGGCUCGCUCUUCGGGAGUUCCUGCCUCAGGAUCAAACUCAAAUAUCUGCCUCCCCACAAAGUUGUUUGUGCUGUAGAUGUAAGGGUCAUUCCCACCAUCUGCAACCUUAAGCUUCCACAUCUUCAAUAUCUCUUUCUUAUUAUUAUUCUAUAUAUAGCUGCCACUGCUGUUCUACCUAAGAACCUGUUUCAUGCAUGCAAUGUAUGUAUCUAUGGAUAUUGAGAGAGAGAGAGAGAGAGAGAGAGAGAGAGAGAGAGAGAGAGAGAGAGAGAGAGACCCUGUACGUGAGAAGCUGCAAAAACCUUAAUGUAGAGGUUGGUUAUAUAGCUAAGAAUGAAAGAGAGGUGGGGUCGGCCAGCUACCUAGUUUAUAUAUAUGUGUGUGUUUGUAUAAUGCGAGAGUAGUUUUUCGUGAUCAGCAACUAAUCAUUCUUUAAUAUGCUUCGAUAGAGGAAUAAUACAUAUCACCUUCCUAAAUUUGUACAUAUAUAUAUAACAUUUAUAGAUCUAGAGAAAUUAAACAAGCAUCCACUCUCUAUGUCAGGUAGUUCUUAUUAUAUACCAGCCUCUUUGCACGUGCUUCUGCGCCUGCGAGAGGUUUUUUUUAAAAAAAUUUAAAUUUAUUUUAAAAUUAAAAAAGAUAAUGGAUAGUUGUGUUCCAUAAAAAUAGGAUCCAUUAUCUGAAUUUUCUUUUAAUUUUAAUUUUUUUAAUAUGAAAAAUUGUAAAUUUACCAUAUUAUCCUCAUUUAAUUAAUAAUUUUAAUUCUUAAUGUUUGCAUUAACCAAGGGCAUUUUCUGGUAUUUUGAAUGUUUCACCAUUCUCUGUCUUUUGCUUUAUAUAUAUAGAUUUUAUUUUUUGGUAAGAACAUUUUCUUAUUGUUUCCGAUUGUCGUGAAGUCAGCCCUCCUCUAAUGUAGGGUGCGUUUCUUCCACCAACCACCAUCCACCCAAAAAUGAUUGAAUAUGAGUGUCGCUUCCACGCGACACAAAAUUAUAAUAUCGCGUAUCAAAGAUUAAAUGCACGAGUAUUUUUAAUGGGAGUUGUUUUUUUCAUUUUUAUUGUAAGAAUAAUGAGAGUUGUAAUUGGCAUUUCAAAAUUUUUAUUUUGCAUUCCUUCUUUUAAAACGGAUAAAGAAAAUGCAAUAUUAUGACAGACAUGGGUAAAAAUUUUCCCAAUAACUUAAGCAUCCCAGUCCUAGUAGCAAUACGGAGAACUUUCAAAAACUUCUAUAUACAAUAAGACUUAAGGCAUUAUUCUAUUUUAAUUUUUAGACUUAGGAUCUUUAUGAAAGAUUUUUGUAUAAUACAGAGUAAUUAAAAAUGAAAGCAAAUAAAAAUUGCGUGUUCAUAUGGUUUUGGGGGAUAUGCAUGAUCUGAAUUUGUCUCUUUCUUUGGCCAUUGACUUGAGUUUGUAGUGAUAUCACAUUGUAAGUCAUAUCAUAGAAUCUCUACAAUUAAAUUAUUAUGGCGUUGAACUUUAAGUUAGCGGAGAUGUUAGGUAUAAAGAUUUUUAUUGAAAGAUUACACGUAACCCUUAUUGACUAACAAUUCACCAACAUAAUUAAAUCUCUAAUAGGGAAAAGCUUCUUCCUUUGUAUUCACUUCACUCUUUUUUUCUUCAAGAAUUAAUUCUUAGCAAGCUGAAAACUAGACACAUGGAUGGGAUGUUCAAACUAACAUUAGUUGAUACAUCACAUUAAUGAACUCAAAUUAUCAUAACAACAUUUGAAUAUGCACAUAAAUUUGGAAAAAAGAUUCUCCGGCUGGGAGAAAGCUAUCUAAAUAUUUUUAAUGGAACAAGUUGUAUCUACAUUAGUUGCUUUGUACGUGUUUUUUAUUAUUUUAUCAAUGAAAUACUAUCGCUCUUUUAUAAUAAAAAGAUAUGAACAGAGUUACUAAUAAUGGCAUGAGGGCAACGGGCACCUAAUCAAAGUUUCCCGCGAUUACUGAGGCAUAUAUACAUUAAAAUAGGAAACCACAUGAAAAGUAUGCAGGGAUUUUUUAAACAAAGAACACGAUCUCUGAAUCUCAUACCAAAACAAAGCGAACAAUAAUCUAGGGUAUAAAAGAAGUCUACGUUUUCUAAGCAUGUAGGACCAAGGUGGAAUAAUAUUUGAACUGGUAUAUUAAAUACAAUAUAUAUAUGUUGAUGUCGGUGUGAUUUUCCCAAUAAUAUCUUUACCUUAGAUACCAUGUUUAAUAAUUUCUUGGAAAUCGAAUUUGACACAUUUUUUAAUAUUAAGGAACAAAAUAUAUGUCAACGGGGUCUAAAUUCAAUGAAAAAUAGCAUUAACUUGCAGACUAAUAGUUUAAGAUUCAAACCCUCAUGCCACCGUGAUUGUGUAUGUGAGAAAGAAAAAUAUCCGGAAGAUGAGAGGAAUGAAGACAUGUGAAAGACUAUAUGAAAUCAUAUAGGUGAAAGCUAAAAAUUAAAAACAACAAAAUUUUAUUUUAUAAAAGAUUUUUCUCUCUCGACUUGAUUUAAAAAGCAAAAGGCUGAAAACCCAAAAAGAAAGUGUUGAUAGGAUACCACAUGCACUUAGUAGCACAUUAAAGACAAAUACUAACAAGUUUUGGAGUAUUAACGCUGGAAACUUCAUUAAAGACAAAUCAAAUACUAACAACUUUUGGAGUGUUUUUUAGUGAAUUUAUUGUAUUAGCCCACCAAUGUGGACAUAUAUAAACCAAGCACAAAGUAUUCUACCACUCAUAUUCCUAUCCUACACCUACGUAUAUUUAUGAUAUGAUUCCUUUCUCUAGCUGGUUUGACCUUUGCGAAGCUAAGGUUCAUACCAAUUUAUUCAAGGACCAUGCUUUAAUUAUGCUAAUUAUCCUCAAUUCUUUAUAAUUUGUUUAAUUAAUCAUCAAUUUUCGCUCGUGUGAAUGUCAUUAGACUAAAAGAUUAUGAGUAAUGCUAGGCAUACCACAUUUGCAUAUCACUUUGUUAGAGAGAUCGAUGAAGCCGGCCCACCUUUAUUAGAGAGGUAAUGUGGUAUAAUGACUAGCAUUUUUGAAAGAUUAUUGGCUAAUUGUUCAGGAGUUCCCCAAUAAACUUAAUAAAUGUACAUGCAUGUAAUAUCUAAAAAUAACAGUACAGUUAGGCUCAAAUUCUUGAAAAAGCUAGGUCAUAUCUUGGCCAUGCUUCUACAAAUGUAUAAGGUUUAAUUUUUAAUGACCUAAUUGACUCAACCAAUGAGAAGCUGCAAGAUCCUCUCUCUCAUUGGAUUGUACACAAGUAAUCUCAUUGGAUUUGAACAAGAAAUUGAAUUGCAUUUGAUUGCACACAAGUACUCGUAAUUCCUCGUAAAUUUAUUGAAAAAUUUGUAUUUUGUACAAAUUCAUUCUCACUAAGCAUCAAGCUGAACCCCCAUAAAAAUGAUUUUCAACAAUUGGCUCUUAUAUAUAUAUGUUUAAUCCUUUAUGUUGGAUAAGCUACACAAUACUGUUAGCGAUUUAGGCUUCCGAAGGCAAUGGAACCCACUUGCGGUACUCUGCAAGAGCCCACAGAGGGUAGAUAUUUCUGUAAGCUGCAUAAUGUAGCAUGCAGUUCUUCAUGAACACUCCUGUGAUUUCCUGCCAUAGUUCAGUGAUUAAUGGUUAGAAAAAAGUUACAAGUAAAAAUUAAGAUUGCAAUGCAAGUAAUGUUGUGCUAAGAAAGAUACCUGUUGGGGAAAAUCCCCAUUUUCCAUUUGAGAAUUGAUAAUCAACUUUGCUGCACGAUGAAGAGGUGCAGGAUCUCUUUCUGCCUGUCCAGCUUGAAUCAGACCCAUCAUAGCCCAUGCAGUGUGUACUAAAUUCGAUCGGUUUUCUUCGAGAGGAACGUACUCCUGUAUCAACCGCCAAGAGAGAAAUAUUUUCAUGUAAGACAAUGGGAUGGUUUAAGAAAUUUGAAGCUUGCUUAAAACGCAAUCCACCUCCAACAUCUUACCUUUUUUGGACAUGAAAGAUAGCUCUCUCCCCAGCCACCGUUCUCUCUUUGUGUCGUGAGUAGAAAGUUAACGCCUUUGCGCACAGUCAAACAAUUAUUGAAAGUCUUUCCGGCCGCUGCUAACCCUCCAAGGGCAAACCAGCUACCAUAUGUAAAGCAAACUCCCCAAUUUCCAUACCAUGAACCAUCUGGCAUUUGUAUGUUUUCAAGGUACUCUGUAGCAUUGGUAAUGAAAUUAUCAAUCUCUUUUUUCCUGUGCCCAGGAUACAACUUCUUAAACAGAACUAAAGACUGAAUUGCAGAUGAAGUGCAUUCAACAUAUUCGUGCUCGACCACAAUGUCCGCAAAGAAUUCUGUGGGAUUUAACAUCUGAGGGAAAUAAAAGAGGAAAAUAUGUAGUAAGUAUCUGCUAAUGAUUAUUUUAAGAGCAUUAAUUUCUGUUCAUCUGACAGAUUUGCACAAGAACGUGGCUUCAAUUUGUUAGAAUUCUUACUUCUAACCACUCUGCUGCUCCUGCUGGUUCCCAGGCUGCUAAACCACCAUUCUUACUCUGCAAUGAUCCGAAAAAUGGUGCUUAGUUAAUGAGUACUUAGAUAUAAAAGAGCAAUGCACUUGAAAAGAGAAGGGUUGAAGUGCUAAAAGUUAAUUAAAUUCUUCAAACUAAAGCAACAAUUAGGAGUGGCAACUCUAGGGUUAAAGAAUCAUGUGAAACAAAUAUAGAUCAAAUUGCUGCAGGGAAAGCACAAGCUUUUAAAUCCAUAUCUAUGACUAGGGGGUGCAGGAUAAGAAUACUUUAGACACAAUCCUUUCUGCAGGCAAGUUCUCACCUGUAGGGAAAGUAGGACAUUGACAGAAUCGUAUAACCUCUGAGGUUCCAUUUUUUCACCAACUAUAUCUGGUCGCAUCGUCGAGAACAACAGGCAACACUGCAGUGUAGGAGAUUGUGAGAAACAUGGAGAUAAACAGACGGUGGAUAAGUCAAAUUGAAGCAUUUGAGAAAAUUUAGUUACCUUUAAACCCUCUGCGGUGCAAUCAGAAACUUGCCAUCCAUGGUCUUGAUCAGAGAAAGUCCAUGAUCCUUUAGAAAUGUGGCGGUGCAUGCUUUUGAAGUCACCAGAUGGAUUGUCCUUGACCUGUACAGUUUGAGCGCAAAGGAUUCAUUAGUCUGAACAAAUUAAUGGACACACAUUUAUAGGUAAACUAUAGUUAAAAUUGAACCUGAGAUUUCUUGAUGAAGUCAUGUCCUCUAGCGAGCGUAGGUCCAAUUUCAUCAGUAAGAUUGCUAGCAAGCAAAGCUUGAAUGGCAAAACCAGUAUCCCACUGCUGACUUCCAAAACUCUGCAUAUAUCAAUCAAACAAUAAGUAUGUAAACUUCUAAGGUUUUCCUCUUCUUUUAGGUGAGUUACACUUUAAUGACCAAAGGAGAAAAACUCUGCUUAAAAUCAUACGCAUAAAUGUUACAACAGCAUAAAUAAUCUGGGAUGCUAUGUGUACUAACCUGCAUCUUCAUCCCAUCUUCAGCAACCCAUAAAUAAUCUGGGAUCCUAGCAAGAUGCUUCUUAAAAUAGUCUCCAUUUGGAUCUUCAGCCCAACAAGCAAGCAUACAUAAAACCUGUUCAAGUAAUGCAAAUAACAUGAUGAGAAUCUGAAAAGUUAAUAUUUUUCUCCAGUCUCCUAUAAGGUACAUCAGUAUCCUUAUCCACAUUACCUUUUCCACACAUCCAAUGGUAAUAUAUCUGCUGUUUUCAUCUUCAUAAUGAAUAUGCUUCAUUGUAACUUGAAGAGCUUUUUCUCUGACCAACUUGUUAAACGGCCAGCGAGUAAGAAGAGGCUCUGUACAUAUGUAGAGACUAUCCCACAUGAUGUCCUGUAUCCAAGGGUGUGGGUAGUAGAUAUCCUCCUGCAAUUAAAUACCUGUAAUCAGGUUCUGUACUUAAACAAGAAAUAUAAACUGAUUAAGUAAUUUAAUUAAAGUUAAACUCACUUUCGCACAAAGAUGGCGCACUCCCUUCCAAUUAAUUGCAUCGUAAGGUUGAGCAUAUAGUUCUUCCCUUAAUUGCAGAAUGAGAGGUGUGAUUGGGCCAACAAACCUCUUCCCAUAUAAAUAUGACAUAGGCAUGUAAACCAUCCUACAAUAGCACCACAUUUUUGCUGCAUUUUCAAGAUAAAAGAGGUUAAAAAUUAAGACUUCUAACUAAAUCACAAGGACACUCCUUGAGUUUGCAGAGUUCUUCAAUCUGCAGGUGUGCUAACCUGGAUGCAUAGGAAGAAAUGAAGGCAGCAUCCAAAACUCCGGCGGCAUUGGGUUGCUUCCAGACCACUCAAACACGCCAAGUAUCUACAACAAAAGCAACAUACUCAUAUUAAUUGAAGCCUAAUAAAUGCAACUAUUACUCAUAUUUUUUCCAUUCAACAAGGCCAUACGUACCGAAAGCCAGGUCUUUCCCCAAGAGGGCAUGUGUGUGACACUACCGUGAUCAAGAAUCCAUUUCCUUGCUCUGGCACAAGCAUUGUUCUGGCCUCCAUCAGGUCCUUCUCCGAGAAUGCGCAUACAAAUGUAGCUCAGGGCUGUGCAGAACAUGGUGCUAUGGCCUUCAAUAUGUAAUCCCCAACCACCAUCUUGAUUCUGAAAAUACAUUACCAUU
This 58258-nucleotide long non-coding RNA is filed under the name Prunus persica (peach). Its description in RNAcentral is "long non-coding RNA (PPER_LNC002916)". Lineage: Eukaryota; Viridiplantae; Streptophyta; Magnoliopsida; Rosales; Rosaceae. The record is from RNAcentral.